Molecule: long non-coding RNA, 58633 nt
Filed under: Ananas comosus (pineapple)
Lineage: Eukaryota; Viridiplantae; Streptophyta; Magnoliopsida; Poales; Bromeliaceae
Description: long non-coding RNA (ACOM_LNC008749)
Source: RNAcentral
AGGUGAGCACCGUGAUCAGCACUAACCAGCGGUCACCGUGCUCACCUCCGGAGGCAUCGGAACAGCCUCAGAUCGCCGGAAAAGCAUGCACAAACACAGAACAACAGCCAAAAAGGCUGAAACGGAGCGACAUCGCCGAAACAGCGAAACGGGGCCUUCCCGACAGAAACCAAGGUGAGCACGGUGAUCAGCGACUUGGUACAAUCACCGUGCUCCCUUUUUUAGAGAUCGGGAAGCCCCGGGAAGCUCGGAACAGUAGGCCAUCCCACAAAAGCCCCAUUUCGGGCUUGGCCGGAGCAAGCUUGCUCCGGCCGGCUUCCGGCGGCACGGCGGCGCGCGCGGAGGCCAGGGAUGGGUGCGGGGGAGGAGAGGAGUGAGGUGCUCACCUCAGACAGCGGCUGGAAGCGGCGGCGGCGGCGGAGGAACAAGACAAGCCCGCACGGCUAGGGCACGGGUUCCGCGGGCACCUGCGGCCACGGCGGCGGCCGGGGAGCUCCGAGACGGCGGAGGAGGAUUGCAGGAGGCCGGAGGGACGCCUCGGGUGCUGCCCCAAGCGGCGGCGGCGCAGGGGUGGAGUCGCACGCUCGCCUCGGCCCGAGCGGGUCUGGGGCGGCUGCGGGCUGGCCGAGGCGGCGGCGGCGGCACUCUGGGCGGCUCGGGGCGGCGGCGGCCGGCGGCCUGACGUCGGGAAGGUGUUACGGGAGUCGCCCAGGGCGGCGGCAAAGCGAGGAAGAGGCCGCACGGUCUGCUCGGCCAGGGCUCGGCCAAGUCGGCUGCAGGCUGCAGUGGCAGCAGCGGCGGCGCUCGGCGGGGAUGCUCGCCGGAGCACGGGGUGACCCUGGCGGAGGGUCUGAAGGUGGCGGUAGUCUCGGGCUUCCUCACAACCCGAGAGGAGAGAGAGAGAGAGAAAGAGAGGGAGAGGGGGAAGGAAGGUGGCUCCGGCGGCGGUUGGCCGGCCGGGGCUAAGUCGGCGGCGGCCUGGGCGUACGCAGCAGGUGCAGGGAAGUAGGGUGAAGGUGGCUGGGGGUGCGGCUAGGGCUAGGUUAGGGUUACAAGGCUCCAAACCCUAAAGAGCUAUAAAUACUAAGGUGCAACUUUGCAAAUAAGUCCACCAAACCUCAGUAUUUAUUACUGAGUCCUUCACAGCGCGUGUAAAACGCGCGGACACCCCUCCACGUGCGAUCCCACGAGAAACGGUACAUAAAAUAUCGCGACUUUUGCGAAAUUACCAUUUUGCCAUUACAGACCUCUCCUCGAUCAACACGCAAUCUCUGCAGAUCCGUCCGUCAGAUUUGCGAACGGAUUGCACCAGUGCGAUCAGCACGACGGAGACAACAAAGCUACCAUUUCGUUUCACCACGAUCGACCACGGAUUCGCGACCAAAUCCAAUCUUUCUUCCAAUAGAAGGAAUAACACAUAAAUACAUAUAAAACAUGUAUUUUUGGAUUUUCUCAAAAUCCGUGCGUCAAACUCAAAAUCUAUCAGCGCCAAUAGUUCCAAAACAGCUGAACCGAUCGAAACGAGCUAUUGGACCGCUAUGAACGAAGUUCGAUACGAGCCAGAAGCCAACUUCCCACCGUGGUUUCUCCGGAAAAUCGAGUUACUAUUCACUUUAAGUGAAACUUGGAAAUCGUGUAGAAUUUCCGUUUUAACUCAUUUUCGUCUGAAACUUGACGAGUGCUUUUGUAAUUAAAUUACACACUAAAAUAUCGUCAACUGAGAGUUUAGCUACACUGCAAAAGUCUCAGUCCUUACACAUUUCCUCUCUUUCCCUCUCUCUAAAAGCUUGGGCUAGGGCGUGGAGAAGAAGGAGAAAAGCUUGGAGAAAGUGGAUUUGGAGGCUUGGGUGGCUCUAGAAGCUCUCCAACAAGAAGGCUUGGGUGGAGCUUGGGCAAAGGUGAGUCCUUAUGCAAAAAUGAGUUUAGGGUUUGGUUUAGACCUUAGAUUUUUGGAUUUUGAUCUCUCUACAAGUGAGGAAACCCUCUAGAGACCUUGAAACCAUGAAAUCCAAGGUUGUCUUGGACCCCUCUCAUGGUGGAUCUCUAGGGCUCGAAGUAGAUGCCCUAGGGAUGGUUCUAAAAGCUUAGAAACCUUCUUAGAGAACUCUCCAUGUGUAUCUAAGCUUUCUUUUGCUUAGCAAUGAGAUCAAUCUAGGGGAAAUGCAAAAAAUGGCAUGUUAGGGCAUUCCAAAGAGGAGUUUUGCCCAAGUUAGGAUUCGAUAUAUUUUGAUCAUGUAGAAACCUAAUUGAAGGUAUUUUAAACGCGUUGAAAUGCUCGGUUCGACAAUCCGACGAAUGUAUGCAAAGUUAUUGACAAAAACGUCGUUUUUCGUACAGAUAGCCGCAGCACGCGGACUAGGGCUUCAAAAAUUUCAAGAAAUUCACCGUAGCAUCCUUGUAACCAUCUAAGGUGGGUGGUGCAUUCCAAGGACAUCGGAAAUCCCUUUAUGUCUAAAGCGUCAUAUUUGAGCAUAUGUACUUAUAUUGAGCAUGUUGCAUAGUAGGGUUAAUUGUAAAUUUCUAUUGCAUGACAUGAGUUUUAAUGCUUGAGAAAUAGUAGUAAAUGAAUGAGAAUUGGUAACCCUAUAUAUGCAUGACAUGGGACAAGAACCUAGAAGGGUUAGUAAAUAAAUGUGACAUGUUGACGUAGACAUAGAGUGUGGCAUGAGUACAAGAACAUAGCACCUAGAAAACAAGUGUGGCACCAAUGACAAAGAACAAGAACAAGUCGUGUACAUGACACUAGUAGAGGUUAGAGAAUGCAAGUGAAUUCGGUUAGUGACAUUAUGACAAAUGCACCUUAGAGUUAAGGGUCAUAUGAACAUGGUUCUCCUUGGAGUCAGGGAAUGGAUUGAACUUGGAAUCCUUAAAGUUAAGGAUUGAUCGUACUCACCUAAUAGUCCUUGCUCGAGGGCGGUAGCUCCCCCUCGGGCGAUGUGCUCCGGAGUUGUCAUCACUGGGUCGUAGCGGUUAUCUCCCCAGAGGGCGGUCCCGUCGGGUCGUAGCGGUUAUCUCCCCGACUAUAGGGAUUUGGGUUGGUGAGUUUGUGAGGGCGAAACCUACGGGCUAGCCAUGAGAUUGGGUAAUGAAAAGUUAAUCUUGCAUUCAUCAUGAGCAUUCUAUCGAGCAUAGUUUUAUUUAUCGUUCAGGCAUAUUAGCUGCAUUUGUUAGUUGGUUAUUAUCUAUUCUUUCUUCUAUUAUGCCUGAUUAGACCUAGUGGGAUAGUCGGCGUGGUUGGUUGCCGAACCCACUGGGAACUUUGUUGUAGUUCUCACCCCACUAUUUCCACAGAGCCGGGACCGAGCGAGCCGGCAGAUGAUCGCGGUAAGGGCAUCGCGCCCUAGGUAGAGACCGCCCGAGAUGGAUUUCAUUUUGUAGUUGCACACCCUUUACUAUCAUCUUUUGUAUUUGAUGAUUUUAGUAUUAUGAACUUGCUUUAAUGAAUGAUGUAAAGAAUAUUUACUUUAAAUGUCAAAAGUUAUAUUUUGGGAGAAAUGAGAUGUAAAAAGAAAUGAUGCAAGAAUGUGACAGAACUUGAUUAUAGUUGGAUACAUGUAUGUGAUUUAAAUUUAGUCAUAUUACUUGUAUAUUGAAUGGUUAAUUCUUUCACCUUGGCUAUUGCUUGCCCUCGUGCAAGCCAUUGUGUAUGCUUCCGCUUAUGCAAAUUUGUACUCUAUUGAUACUUGUGUUGGGCCUUGGGCAGACAGGGGAAGCUCUGUCCGUUUGGCGUCUGUUUGACGCUCUCGAACCGGCCAAAAGGGAUCGGGCUCGGGGAGUGACAGAUAAUUUGGUAUCAGAGAGUAAAAGAGCCAAAGGUGAAAGCAUAGGAUGGACCUAGAGACCCUUAGGAAUGGAAAGACCUUAAGGAUCUAGGAAACGUGAGUGACGUUGAACAAAUAUAGCGAAAGCUUAUGAUUGGGUUAAUGCUAAUAAGUCUCUAAUGUGGUUAGAGGCUAACUUAAAGUUGUUAUUUGUUUUCUUUCCUUUGUGUUGUGAUCGGCAGCCGACGACAUGAUGCUUUGGAAGGAAAAUAAAUGCACUUGUAUACUUUCGCCAAUUGGGUAUAAUCGAGUAUAUUGUCUGAGUAACUAACAUGAAUUGCUUCAUUUCAGGAAGCGAUGCCGCCUCGUGGACGACCUAAGUUGCCUCGUGGUCGACCGCGGACGAGGUCUAUGGCCGAGGAGCCAAGUGCGGCUCCCGUGCAACCCGGAGCAGGUGGCGACGGGGAGCUUCGGGAGCAGAUGGCCGCGCUUAUUGGCGUAGUGCGGCAGCAGGCGGAGUCUGUUCAGCGCCAAGGGGAGCAGAUCGAGAGGCUCCAGGAGGCUUUGGAGCGGCAACAGGCGGCGGCGGCGGCGCCCGGGGAGGCCGUGCACCCUGCGCCUCCUGCAGUGGUGCCGAGUGCGGCCGAAAGUGUGGCCGCAGCGGCCGUGCCAGUUACGAUGAUGCCGACAGGAUCGGGGACCUCAAAUCCCGAUAGUGCGGCGGAGGAGGCGGAGCGGGAGCGCAUGUUGGCAGCUCUCAUUCAGUUUCAGAAGUUUAACCCACCUACCUUCGAAUGUGGAGUAGUGGAGCCGGCGAUCGUGGAGUCAUGGAUCGACUCCAUGGAGACACUCCUUGAGGAUCUUAACACCUUGGAGAGGGACAAGGUGUACCUCGCCACAUAUUGCCUCAAGAAGGUGGCGAAGGUGUGGUGGAAGCGUGUUAGGCGGGAUCGAUCGCCUGAUCUUCCGCCUAUGAUGUGGGAGGAGUUCCGGAGGGCGGUGUUUGCCAACUACUUCCCCGAUACGGUGAAGCGGAAGUUGCAAGAGAAAUUCCACAAGUUGCACUCUACCCACUAGCCUUAGCCGACCUUGUGGGGAGCCGCACUCUACCCACAAUGGUCGUCAAUUAGAGAGCUACUCUCUACCCGCUUUAUGAUCCUAGCUCAGUCGAGACUCAUUUCACACUUUCGGCUAGUGAAUGACUCUUCUACCAACUGUGAUCCCUCACUUUCUAGAGAGGUCACUCAUUCUAAAGCUACUCUAGUCUAAUUAGCACGCUUAAUCUUCUUAACCUAUUGGGCCUAGCCACCUCUAAAAUGCUAUAGUUUGGUUAAGAGUUUUAGCCCUAUUAUAUCUCAUAUCUAGGACUAUUCCAAAUCCUUGGGGUGUCACAUUCACGCCCCACGAUGUAGAGGAACCCCUCGUAUACACCAAUAGACCCACUGUAUGCACAGGGAAGUAUCCCGCAACGCACGAAGCGCCAAUCCACCUGUCGAACAUGCAAAUUCUAGGCACAACUACACAAAUGUUAGGAGUUCACAACUAACAAGUAUCAGAGUAUAAGAAUACAUAACAAUUGAUAUAAGCUAAUAGAUACAAAUAUCAUCCAUACAUUUCUAAAAUAAAACCUCCAAAAUAUACAUCACCUACGCGCCUCGCCAGUUACACAAGUACAUAUUGCUAUAAAAAGAAAAUAUACAUCUACUGGGCCCACCUCUAGCUCAGUCGACUAUGGUAGGAGAUGUUAUCUAUCGUGCUAUCCUCUUAGCUUGAUUAGAUGCAAAAGGAGCUGAGGAGUCUGAAAUAGAAAAAUAAUAAAAAAGAUGGCGUAAAAACUACUGAACUAUAGUCCUCAAGAAGUACCAUCGCCGACGACAACGACAUACCCACUAAGUCUACUAGAGGCAAAGAUAGUAAAUAAAACUAUACGAAAGCAGGAUAUAAAUAUUGGAAAUAAACUACCACUAUCAUUCCUCUAAGCUACUACUACUGAAAACUGUAAAUCAUGUAUAGCAUGUAUCAAUUACCUACUAAAUAUAUAAGCAAAACUGUCAGUCACACCGACCAUGUCACGCCUCAGGACCGCCAAUUUGGUCGGUUCAAACAUGCAAACAAACGCCGAACAGACAAGCCUCCUCUGUCCGCCCAGAAAAAUUUCAAUAUACAUGACUUGCACGAGGACAAAUAAAUAAGAGCAAGUGAAAGUAAAUUCUAACUAUUACAUCCAUACAUUGAACUUUGAUUACAUAACCAAAAUACAACUCUUUUUUAGGAUUCAUAUCCCCCAAAUACAUCAUUCAUCAUUCUUAUUACAACUACAUGUCUUUUUCAUCAAAUACAAAAGAUGAAAGUAAAGGGUACAACUAAUGCUCGGAGGUCUACUACCUAGGGCACUAUGCCCUUAUCCCGAUCCUCAACCGCCCCGCUCACGCUAGAAUCUGCAAAAAUAGUGGGGUGAGAACUACAAGAAGUUUCCAGUGGGUUCGGCCAUCGACCCCGCCGACUCUCCCACUAGGUCUAAACAGGCAUAAGUAGAGAAAGGUAGAUUGAUAAAUAAAUAACUUAACUAAUGCAGCUACUAUACCUGUAACAAGAAACUAACACAAGGAAUAUUAUGCUCAUGAUGCAUGUCCUUUCUAAUACUUUUCCCAAUCAUCUUGGCUAACCCAUAGGUUAAGCCCAACUCAUCAAACCAAAUCCCUUUUAUCGGAGAGAAUUCCGCUACCACCCGACGAGACCGUGAGCUGGGGAGAAUUUCGCUACCGCCCAGUCAAUGACAACUCCGGAGCUCACAGCUUGAGGUGUAGCGACCACCCUCGAGCAUAUCAAACUAUCUGUGAGUAUGAUCCAAUCCUCAACCUUGAGGAUACCAUGUCACUAAUGUCAUAAUACCUGUAGUGUAUCAUUUUCUAGCAUUCUAUGUUUCUAAGUGCUAUUCAAUCCAUCUAGUCAUAAUGUCACCUUGUUUACUAUAUUGUCACAGUUCACAACUUGGUUCAUGCAUCUAUAGGGUUCUUAUGUCCAAAGUUUCAUUGUCAAUUCACAUAUAUGUUUACGUUGGAAGUAUGCAAAAGAUUCCAUAUAAUACCAUUUAACCCUACAAUGCAUGAAUACAUACAUAUGCUCAAGAAAGUGACUUAGACAUAACGAGAAAUUCAACUGUUUCGGAUAGCACCACCCACCUUGUAGGGAUGCCGGGAUGCUUGAAUCCAAGUCCCGCAAUUUAUCUUCGCCUAUUUCCCUCGACCCAACACUAACGAAGGUAAAAUAAGGUUUUUCUUCAAUAGGACGUCGUAGGCUCGUCGAAACUCCAAUCCGAGUUGCCCAACGCGUCGAAUUAUCCUUCAAUUAGGAAUACCAAAGGUCAAUUUCAUCAUAGAUCUCAAUUUCUACAAAAUUCUAAAUUUAACCCUAGGGUUUGCAUAUACCACAUAUACCCAAUUUUCUUAGGAUUUCAUGGAAUACUCUAAGCCUUUAUAUCCCAAGAAUCUUAAACACAUGCAAUUUAUGGUAGUUAAAUUAAACCCUAACUCAUACAUGCAAAGGAACUCACCUUGACUCCCAUGCUCCACAAUCCCUUCCUUGUUCUUGAGCCUCCUCACCUCCAAGAGCUCCAAUCCACCCUCAAAAUCUCCUCCAAUUACACCUUGUUGGAGAGAUUCUAGAGAGAGAAUGAAAGAAAAUGAGAAGCUUUUCUCAUGUAAUGAGAAUGAAUGCAUUGGGCCCUUUAUAUAAGCCAUCAUAAUUGCAUUUAAGUCCUCCAACUCUUGCUAUUUAUAACUAUUCAAUUUCAACCCUUUGCAGAGCUGAGUACCGGUACUGGAAUUGGAGUACCGGUACGCGAGCUCUCCAGUACCAGUACCCGUUUCCUGGUACCUCAACCUGAACGUUGGCAAUUUGGGUUUAAUAUAGGGUUUCGGUAUGCGACCCCCAGUACCCAUACCCGACCUCCAGUACCGAUACCCGCUACGUAGUACCGAUACAAUCCAAAGCAGAACCCAAACCCGAGAGUUGGCUAUUUGGGUAAUCAACUGAGUACUAGUACUCAACCAUUAGUACCGGUACACAGCCUAUCCAGUACCGGUAACCCGAGAGCUGGUAGUUUUGCACUCAUAUUGGGUACCGGUACCCCAUUCCUGGUUUCGGUACUCAAUAGAAUUUCUGCCGUUCCAGCAGACUUAACACUUCAGAGCCCGUUUCCGCGCCCGGUUUGCGCCGAAAAUACUUAAAUACUCUCGAAACUCACUUCUAACCAUCCGAAUGCCUUCAAGGCAACUCGGGGACUUCACUUAUCACCUUCAUACCACACCUUGAUCAAUUUGAUCAAUGUUAGCAUUACGAUUCGGGGAUUCGGUAUAUUAGAAAUCGACUCAUAAGUUCGGUCAAGCUUGUACCUGCCUCACACCCGACCCCGACACUAACUUGGUGGUCUAUCGAUGCACAGGCAAUCUAUCCACUAAAUCAGCCACCAGCCUCCAGAGGAGCAAUUGAGAAAUGCGAUCCACUCAAGUGUAGUAUUUUUAUUAAGUACAUUAGGGUUCCUGCAUGCUAUGGUCAUAUGCGAAUGAUCACCCAGAUCAUAUCAAAUACUGUCAAGGUGCCAUUGGCGUAAUCAUGAAUAUGUCACUGUUUAAAACCGCUAUGCUUACCCAAGGCAAUAAUAAAUCAUAUGUCGUUCACAAUUUGUCACCACCCAAAUCGUGAGCAUAUAUCCAAACUAACAGGUUACGCAUAUAUCAAUAAUGUCAUCUCUACUAAAGAAAAAUAAUAGGAAAGUGGAGGAAUAAAUAUAUUGUUAGAUGUGAUCUGAACCAACUCUCAAGUAAGAAUUAUGAAGCAUAUAUAUAUAAGUAUGCUGUCAUAGUAACAGUUAAUUCAACUUCAAUAGUGAGGUAUCCAAAUUGCUACCAUGUCAAUAGGUUAACAUACAUACUAAAUUCUGCAUACUAGACAUGGUAAGAAAUUCGCUAUUUUUAGCUAAUCCAUCUGUAAAUAUUGUCCAAUGCAAACAAGAAAUGUAGCUCAAAAUCCCCUUCCUCACUGUCUCAGAAAAUCGGUAAGAAAACCAACAUAAAUCCUGCUCGUAAAACAAUCAAGCAUUAGCUAAAAACGCAUCCAAUCCAAAGCUCCCAAACAAAAACCAAAUCUUCAAACCAUUAGACCAAAUAAUAGUUACCUACCUCAAGUCCAGAUAGAGAAACGGAUCCACAAUCUGCCUCCUCCUCAGCCAUACACUAGUCCAACCUCCUCUACAGCAUCAUAGCAGAGGAGACUCUUCUCCCAACUCUCCUAGCUAUAGCAGAGGAUGAAGAAAAUAAGAAGGAGAAGAAAUGGAGUAAAGGAGGUUUCUUGAUGGCGAAGGAGUGAGAAAAGAAUGGAUGUAAUACAUAGGCAUAUAUACCGACGAAGAAUUUCAGAAAUGCAUCAGAAAAUAAGAAGUAACACACCCUAGCCCAAAAGCGAACUUUCGAGCACCAAGAACUAGAUUUUCAAGCAUCCACAAGCAUCGAAGAUGCAUCCACUCUCUUAUUCAAGCGCCCGAAUAGAAGCCCAAAGUUGUUGUUAGUCUGUCCACAAAUUUUCGGGCACCCGGAUAGAAGGUUGAAUCUAUCAUAGCUGCACUCGAUCACAUGCAGAUGCUCGAAACCCCAUACCUAAAACUCCUGUGACACUGUGCAUGUGUCAGCACAAAGUUAGAUCAUUACUAAUCUACCCGGGUUGCUACAGUAAUUUCAGGCGUCUGGAGCUGGGAUUCGAAUCAACGACAAAGCAUGUACAUCACUUUUGGGCGCCCUAAAGUCCUUUUGGGCAUAUGAAACUCAUUGAAACUUCAGUUUCAUUAGGAUUUUCAAUUUCGAACCUAUUUCGCAUCGAUUUUGCAUCAAAAUGGCUCCAACUCGGUCCGCCACGCUAUAAACGUGCAGACCAAGCACUGCAAGUGUGAUCUUGCCCACCAACCAAUGUCUAGUACACUUUAUUGACCUCACUCAAUCCAUCUAAAUGUUAGGUCUAUUGUUGGGCCUUUUGCCGCUAGGUUUAUAUUGUGAACCGCAGCUCCACUCAACUUUUGGGCUCACCCAACUCAAUUUAUUAGUCGCUUAAGCCUAUUAUCACUGUGAUGCCCUACUUUCCAAGGAGUCAUCUAUCCUAGGACUAUUCUAGCCCUAACACGCUUAACUCUCUUAAUCUCUUGGACCUAGCCACUACUCAAAAUGCUAUAGUUGGGUUAAGUACUUUAGCCCUAUUAUAUCUUAUAUAUAUAGGACUACCUGGAAUCUCACAUUCCCCCUCUCCCCUUCCCCCCUUUAAGCCCUGACGUUCUCCUUAGGCUCAAACUCACAAAUACCAGAAGAUGUGAGACUCUUCUUGCUAGUUUUAACCGAUCUUGUGGGGGAGCCGCACUCCACCCACAACAAUCAAUAGCAUGAGAGCCUUGCUCUUUCCGUUGUAUGCUUAGUUAAGAUUCAUCUCACACUUCCGGCUAGUAAUUGGCUCUAAUACCAAUUGUGAUGCUCCACUUUCCUAAAGAAAAAUUCAAGUUUCCUCCUAUGUGUAGAACCGGCUCCAAUCGGAACGCAACAUUUCCUCCUAUGUGUAGAAACGAAAAAUUCAAGUUUCCUACACGCUCAAGAUCGCACAAGCACCGAAGAAGACAAGAACGGAGAAAUAGACAGCUCAUAAUAAUAAUCUCAAACAACUCCACAUAUAAAAUUAAACAGCUUUACUAAGAGUAUCUAAAACACCAUACAAUGAAAGUCGAAAAAUAUCAAAUAAAUCUUCAAUCAAAACACCUUACAAUGAAUAUUCAUAAGAGAGGAGAAGAAGUAGAUUAGAGGUCGCCUGCCUCAAACCUAGCAAAAACUCAACUACCUUUGGAACCUCUUUCACGCUUCUCUUGCACUUAGAGAAAACACCAAAAAGAAUUUUGAAGCUUAAGAGAAGAAGCUCUAUUUUUCCUCAUAACUUAUUUUCUUUUGACCCCUAACUAAAACUCAUAUGGUCCAACUUGGCUCACUUAGACCAAAAUAAGCCACAAAUCAAUUUGACUCAAAAGGAACAAAAAAGAGGCCCAUUUAAAUAAUAGACCAUUGGGCUCCUAUAAAUACACUUAUUAAAUUAGUAAACAAAAGGAAACAAAAAAAAAAAGUUUAGCACUAGUUUCUAACAUUUUCGUAGGUCACCCAUCGUAGGACUACUCUAACCCUAGCACGCUUAGCUCCUCUAGCCAUCGCUCAAAAUAUUAUAGUCGGAUUAAAAAUUUUAACCCUAUUAUAUAUAUCUUAUAUAUAGGACUAUCUGAGCUCUCACAAUCAUAAAGUAGGAAGUUGGAUAUAUUUUAGCCAAUAAUUAAUAGCCAAUGCCAUGGUCCGCAAAUUUCAUUGCGAGCUCUUGGGUGCAUUCGCUGCUAUUCAUUUGAAACAUCAUAUCUCAACUGCGUAUCUUCAAUCGGGUAAUGCUCAUCAUCAUGCACAAGGAGCAGUUCGUGCAUGCAUUGAGCAGAAAAUGCUCCAUAAUUAUAGAAGCCACUAGUUUUGAUCUCCCAAAUAGUUGGAAAUCCUUCUUCCCCUUCAACUUCUUAUCGGAAUUAUUUCGAUCAUUUUCAUCCAAACAAUUUCUUAAAAAAGCUUCAUUUUUAGAGAAGAAUUUAAAAAGUGAUUCCAGUAGAGAAGGGAUGUUGAUAGAGCGAAACAAUUAAUUUCUCAGCAGCAACAACUUCAUUUGGGAAAGAAGAAGUUAAAAUAUAAUAAUUUGAAUGGAAAGGAAUGCUGAUAGAAGAAAGGACUAUUAUAUAUCUAAUGAAGGCCCGUUUGGCCUAGCAGUUGAAGAAAUGGUUUUCGUAUAAUUAAUUUUGAUUUGAAAAAUCAAUUUUCGUUAAAAUUUAUAGAGCUUUCAGCUGAAUUUAGAUAGAAAAUGAUUUUUCUGAAAUAAUAUUGUAAAUUUGUUAAUCAAAAAAAUUUUCUUUCUUACAAAUAAUGAUUUUUACGACAAAAUUUCAUCUUAAAAUAAUUUAAAUUUUCAAUUUCAAUUUAAAAUUAGAACAAAAUAAAAAAUUUAAUAUUUUGACUUAAAAUAUAAUAUUAAAAUAUAAAAUUUAAAAAUUAAAAUAUAAUUUUAAUUUUAAAGUCUACAUUAAAGAUUAAUGAUUUAAAAUUUACGUCUAAAAAUUAAAUUUAAAAAUUUGAAAUUUGAAAUUUAAAAGUGAUAGAAAGUGAUUCAAUGUGACGCCCCGAAUUACAACGUUUUUCCGGGCACACCAACAGACCCGCCGUAUACAUAGAAAUUUUUUCGUGUAAACGAAGCGAUAGCUGUACCUGUAAACAAGUUUGAGCUACAACCAAGAGUAUAGAGCUACCAUAACUAAAACAUAAAUAAAAUAUAAAGGUUUCACUGUACAUACAACAUCGACAACCACACCUCGCUGCAGCGAGUGCACAAAACAAAAAGUAUGUGUAUGAAUACAACUCACUAUAUAUCUCUGACGGGUACUCCGCUAGCACGGCAACCAAGGCUGGUAGGGAUCUAACUCACGACUCCCUUACCUCUGUCAAAAUCAGCAACAGCAGCAGCCACAGAUGAAGGCUCUACAAAAAGGUGUCAACAACUAGGUGUGAGAACUAUUGCAAAAUAGAAUAAUCCUCAGUGGGUACCGUCACCGACCUCAACGGCCUACCCACUAAGUCUACAGUAAUGAUAUGAAUAUGAUAGUAAGGAAAGCUGGAAAGAACUCUACAACUACAUGCCUCUAAACUAUUGCUACCAAAACAACUGUCUGUAGACAUAAACAUGCAUCACUAGCUACCACUGACCAAAUCUCACAUAGGCUGCCCAAACGGACCCACCCUACCUGUAACCAAGUUACACCGUACACCACCCACAGGGAUGGCCGGUCUAAAAAAAUGGUCCAAACAGGAUGGCUGCAAUAUCAACGCAAGUCAAAGCCUCACUCCGAAGCGGCACUCAUGGGUGUGACCCAACCGAGUAUGCAAGCGUGUCUUUGCCGAGCUCAAUCAGGCUCUCACAGGCUGUAAUCAAGGCAAAUGGGUCAAACUGGUCUAACAACCAAAGCUUACGUGCCAUUGACACAAUCUGAUGCAAGAUACAAAAAUCUUGAUGCGCCAUCAACUACGACGGCACCCAACAGUACAGAACAGUCUACACUCUACUGUAAAAUGAGUUCGACCUCUCAGCACGUGCGUAAUCUCAACCUACACUAGUCUGGGUAUCCACCUCGCACUAACAGCGGUGAUACAAGAGAACAACAGCUCCUACAGCUAUUUCGGUUACUUUUCGAAAAAUGACAGUGUAGGUUUAGCGAGCUUUCUCCUAAGUUAAUUCCACGUUCAGCAUAUAAAUUUGUCUAAAUUACUAGAUCAUGCUCCAAAAGUCAGAUUUUAUAAAAUAUGCAUUUUCUGAAUUUGAGCAACUAACAUGAUGAACAAGGCCAAAAACAUAUGUUGACGCUUCUAUAACUUAGAAGGAAAUCCAACAAUUUCGUAAAUAUUAACCCAUCUCGAGCACUCGUCCAACGUCGGCUAGAAGUUGAUAAGAGAACUACGCACACUCGCUCGACCUCCGAUGACUCAACCAGGACAACCCACGCGUUCGAACGAUCCUCCUAGGAAGUGAAGAAUCCAAACGAGCUCGAUUCUCGACCUUCCAAACGAACGAAGUAAACAAGCUAGAAAGAGAGAGAGGAAGAAGAGAAACAUACUGUUUCUCCAAGCUUCUCAGGCUGCUAUAUAAGCUGGGGUAGGUGGCGAUACAAUUCACAACCAAAAAGACCAAAAUAUCCCUUACCAACUCCAAUCUGCCUCUGAGGUACCGGUACUCAACUUGAAUACCGGUACUCGGCCCUCUCUCCGCAAUCUCACGCGCUGGGUACCGGUACCAGCCCAAUGCAGUACCGGUACUCAAGUUCGAUACUGGUACUCAAUAACAUGUACCGGUACUCGACAUCAGACAUGCACAAAUUUGAGAGCAUCCAAUUCUACAAUCUCACUGGGGGUAUCGGUACUUCUCACCAGGUACCGUUACUCAACACUGAAAUUCUGCACUUUGCAUAUUUCAGUGUCAGAACUCCACUCUCGCAUCGCGCUGAGUCCGUUUUGCGUCCAUUUCAAGCCAAAACGACUCCGACUUGUCUCGACACCCACCAGACGUGUCGACAAGCCACAGAUGUUGAAGCCUCUCUGACCGCUAAAUACCAGGAACACUACAUUCAAAUUAAGAAAAAAAAAUUUGAUAGAUGGAAAAAAAAAAAAAAAAAAAAAAAAAAAACUUUCAUAUAAUGUAGCAUGAGUGGAUUUCAGCACUUUCUUCUCGUUGUAGACCAACUAGCUCCCUAAAACUUUUCUUUCAUUUGGUCAGGGCUUCUUUAUAACUAUUUCGACUAUUUUCGUCCAACCAAUUUCUCCGCAACAACUGGUAAUCUGAUGCAGAAGUUUUAGAAAUGAUUCCAAUGGACUAGGGAAAAUCGUGUUGAUGGAAGAAUAAGAGUUCUCAACAUCAACUUCAUUUGAGUAAGAAGUUAAAGUAGUGAUCGAUUCAACAUUGUACCAUGUAAUUAGGUCGUCUGGUUGCCUAAAAAAAGUUAACAUUUCUAUUAUUCACUCAUAAAAUAUAUUGAGACCGCUCAACUAUGGAUAUUUUAAUCGCUCCCUACCUUUAGCUUUUCUUAAUUUUUAUGAGUACUCUCUUAACUUUUAUAUUUUCCGUCUAACACGACUACAACAAAAUGGUCUAUAUACGCAUUUUAAUGUAGGUAACAUGUCAAAAAAUUGCUGUGGUGGUGUUUGAAGAUUGGGGAGGUGACUUCUACGAUGUUUAAGAGAAGUUGUCUAUUUAUUGUGUUCUGUUUGGUGGUGGGGGUGGUGUCUGUGGGAUUUGUAUAGUUGUGAGUGAUCUAUUUUAUAGAUGUGUGAUGGGGUGCGCGUGAUGAGAGCGUAGAGGAGAGAGUGCUGCUAAUUCCAACACUUAUUGUGAUAGGUUUAGCAACCUUGCUGCUAUUAGAUCGUCGUAUCUCGUUGGCUGCGGUGGGGAGGAGUUUACGUAUCUAUUAAAGUCUUCUCUGUUAUAAUUGCGAGUUGUGUAUGUAUCUGAGUGAGUGUUUUAGAAGAUGGAAGAUGGGGUAAGUUUUUUUUUUUUGGGUGUCGUGAGUUGUAAGUCGGGUGGUUCCAAAUGACUCUGUGGGUGUGUGCUGUUGCCGUGGGUGAGUAGAGUAACAUCUUUAUGUUGUUGCAUUGCGGCUUUAUAUUUAGGCAUUAGUAAAUGUUUUUUUAAGUUUUAGUAUAAAUGGGACACUUACACAAAAGUGUCCCAAACAUGUGUCCCUAUAACCUAAUUCUGUUGUAGUGGCAAUUUUAAUCUAAUAAGUUAAAUAUUUUUCUAAUUUAUUAAUAAUUAUAUCAAGUUUUUAAGAAUUUUUAAUUAAUUUUAGCAUGCAAAAUUAAAAUAGUUAAACUAAUAGUUGAUAAAAUAUCUACUCAAUUUAACAAAAUUUUUAACUAAUUUUACUAUAAAAAUUCCAAUAAAAAAUUAUAAACUAGGAAGUUUUAAUAAAAAAUAAAAGUUAACAUUUAUUUCAAAAUAGUCCGUAAAUAUUAGGGGGUAUCUUCAGACGUCUUUAUGCAAGCAGUACUAUUGCCUAAAUUUAAUUUAUUAUAUAAUCCGUAGAUAGGGAUGCAAAUGGAUCCGGAUUGGUGGAGCUCCCACCUCGAUCCAUUCUGAAUCGAUUGAUAAGUUGUAACAAAAAAAUAUAGAAAAAUAUAAUUCACUCCGAAUCUGUCCCGAUCCGCUAAGUAAAUGGAGCGGAAGGCGAGAGACCCUUUUUUUUCCUUCAAUUCGUCCCGAUCAAUUAAAAAUCCACCAAAAAUCUACUCCCGUCCCGAUCUGCCUCGGAUGGGGUGGUAAAUAUGAGCCAAAAAUAAAAUGAAAAAUAACCUGUCCCGAAAAGAAAUGGAAUGGGAGGUGGAAGAACCCUCCCACCCCUGAUCCUCCUCGUUUGCUUCCCUAUAUAUCCAUCUAUAAACUCCUAUGAAAACCCAUAUCCUUUUGUCCACGUGGCGAUAUCUAUAAACUCCUAUAAAAACCUAUAUCUUUUUGCUCACGUGGCGAUAUUAGCUUAAUUUGAUCUUUUGUGGGGCCUACCCGUCAUCUUAAAUUACCAUACUUAAUUGUUAUUUGUGUGGGCAUAUCAGUCAUCCUAAUUUACAUGGCCCAUAAGGCCCACUUGGCUUUUUUUUUUCUCAUCUUCUUCCAAUUUAAUUCAACAUGGGCCCUCAUGGCAAUUUUUUUUCUUCAUCUUUUUCCCAUUUAAUUCAGCCGGUUCCCAUUUAAUUGGUUUAAGUAACCGGUUCAUCUUUCAACCGGUUACGAUUAAACCCAUUACAUCUUCAACCCUAGCAUGUUCGCUACCUCCUAGAUGCCGCUCGCCCCCUAGAUGCCUCUCCGACUCCUGAUGUAUACAUCCUCCCUGGACGAAAAAUUAGGCUGAAUUCACUAUCGAUCCUUCUUCCCAUUGCGCUGUUUUUGAUAACGAUGCUUCAUUCCUACCGAUUGAUCCCUCUCCGAUCGCAAAAAUGGUUCAGAUUCAUUAUGUACGGUCUCUCCGACUUGUCGGAUAUCUAUAUUUGUUGAAUGCGAAGGGUUGUUUUAUGUUGAAUGUUGUCUCUAUAAAAUUUUUAUUUGCAGCAAAAAAUCUCUAUUUCUCUGUUGGUGCUCUUUUCUUCUCUGAUUUGAUUUUCAUCUUUUAUUUUUGUUUGAAUUUCAAUUUGGCUGUUAUUAUUUUUUAAAAAAAAAUAUUGAGUAAUUUUACUUUGUCUCAAAAAUUACCUCUAUCGAUAGCAUCAAGUUUUCCACCGUUAGAUUUAACCCUUUAACUAUUUUCACCCGUUAAAUUAUAUUAUUAAACCAAUAACUCAUUUAACUCUAGGGGGCCCACAUCAUCAUAACCGUACAUUUUUUUCAUCUAAGGGCUGAAAACCUAAUAGCACCAAUAGGUUGGUGCUAUUGAUAGUAUUCCAGUCUAUAUAUAUAUAUAUAUAUAGAGAGAGAGAGAGAGAGAGAGAGAGAGAAAGAGAGAGAGAGAGAGAGUUGAGCUAGAAUACUCUCAAAAGCACCAAGGGAGUNAAAUAUUUUUCUAAUUUAUUAAUAAUUAUAUCAAGUUUUUAAGAAUUUUUAAUUAAUUUUAGCAUGCAAAAUUAAAAUAGUUAAACUAAUAGUUGAUAAAAUAUCUACUCAAUUUAACAAAAUUUUUAACUAAUUUUACUACAACAAUUCCAAUAAAAAAUUAUAAACUAGGAAGUUUUAAUAAAAAAUAAAAGUUAACAUUUAUUUCAAAAUAGUCCGUAAAUAUUAGGGGGUAUCUUCAGACGUCUUUAUGCAAGCAAUACUAUUGCCUAAAUUUAAUUUAUUAUAUAAUCCGUAGAUAGGGAUGCAAAUGGAUCCGGAUUGGUGGAGCUCCCACCUCGAUCCAUUCUGAAUCGGUUGAUAAGUUGUAACAAAAAAAUAUAGAAAAAUAUAAUUCACUCCGAAUCUAUCCCGAUCCGCUAAGUAAAUGGAGCGGAAGGCGGGAGACCCUUUUCUUCCUUCAAUUCGCCCCGAUCAAUUAAAAAUCCACCAAAAAUCCGCUCCCGUCCCGAUCUGCCCCGGAUGGGAUGGUAAAUAGGAGCCAAAAAUAAAAUGAAAAAUAACCUGUCCCGAAAAGAAAUGGAGUGGGAGGUAGAAGAACCCUCCCGCCCCUGAUCUGCCUCGUUUGCUUCCCUAUCCAUCUAUAAACUCCUAUGAAAACCCAUAUCCUUUUGUCCAUGUGGCAAUAUCUAUAAACUCCUACAAAAACCUAUAUCUUUUUGCUCACGUGGCGAUAUUAGCUUAAUUUGAUCUUUUGUGGGGCCUACCCGUCAUUUUAAAUUACCAUACUUGAUUGUUAUUUGUGUGGGCAUAUCAGUCAUCCUAAUUUACAUGGCCCAUAGGGCCCACUUGGCAUUUUUUUUUCUCAUCUUCUUCCCAUUUAAUUCAACAUGGGCCCGCAUGGCAAUUUUUUUUCUUCAUCUUCUUCCCAUUUAAUUCAGCCGGUUUCCAUUUAAUUGGUUCAAGUAACCGAUUCAUCUUUCAACCGGUUAUGAUUAAACCCAUUACAUCUUCAGCCCUAGCAUGUUCGCUACCUCCUAGAUGCCGCUUGCCCCCUAGAUGCCUCUCCGACUCCUGAUGUAUACAUCCUCCCUGGACGAAAAAUUAGGCUGAAUUCACUAUCGGUCCUUCUUCCCAUUGCACCGUUUUCGAUAACGAUGCUCCGUUCCUACCGAUUGAUCCCUCUCCGAUCGCAAAAAUGGUUCAGAUUCAUUAUGUAUGCUCUCUUCGACUUGUCGGAUAUCUAUAUUUGUUGAAUCCGAAGGAUUGUUUUAUGUUGAAUGUUGUCUCUAUAAAAUUUUUAUUUGCAGCAAAAAAUCUCUAUUUCUCUGUUGGUGCUCUUUUCUUCUCUGAUUUGAUUUUCACCUUUUAUUUUUGUUUGAAUUUCAAUUUGGCUGUUAUUAUUUUUUUUAAAAAAAUAUUGAGUAAUUUUACUUUGUCUCAGGAAUUAACUCUAUCGAUAGCAUCAAGUGCUUGGUGCUAUCAAGUUUUCCACCGUUAGAUUUAACCCUUUAACUAUUUUUACCCGUUAAAUUAUAUUAUUAAACUAAUAACUCACUUAACUCUAGAGGGCCCACAUCAUCAUAACCGUACAUUUUUUCAUCUAAGGGCUGAAAACCUAAUAGCACCAAUAGGUUGGUGCUAUUGAUAGUAUUCCAGCCUAGAGGUAUAUAUAUAUAUAUAUAUAUAUAGAGAGAGAGAGAGAGAGAGAGUUGAGCUAGAAUACUCUCAAGAGCACCAAGGGAGUGGUGCUUUUGAGUUUUUAGCUAUUGGAUGGAGAGAUGUAGGGUUGAGAUGAUGGGGUAGGUGGUGGUAAGUGGUGGUAGGUGGAAUAGUGUUUGGUCCAAAGGUUAUUAGUAAUCAGGGAGUAGAUCCAAGGGCGAGAAACUCAAAAGCACCAAGGGGUUGGUGCUUUUGAGAGUAUUCUAGCUCAAUUUUAUAUAUAUAUAUAUACUUCAAUACACUAUAUAAAUCUUGAUCAUUUAUUUUUCUUAAUAGAUGGUUUAAAUUUAAUAUGACUCUAGAGAUGGCCUACUAUUGAAGCGUAGGUACCAUUCAUCAUGUACUUAUGGUCUUUGUAAAAUAUUUUGGUCUACAAAACCAAUUUUAUCCAACUAAGAAUACUAUGACCUUUUCAAAUGCCUACAACAAUAGUUGGAUUUCAAAUUACAACCAAAUUGUAAAUUUAAAUUCAAAACAACAUUUAAAACUUAAUUAUAGAUCAAAUUCAAUUUUUUUAAAUAUAAAACACAAAUUUAAAAUAAAACUUUCAGUUCCAAUUCAAAAUUUCAAUUUAAAUCAAAAAUUAAAAUUUGGUUUUAAGAUUACAAGUUCAAUUUAUAUUCAAAUUAAAAGUUUAAUAUAAAUUUCAAAAUUAAAAUUUUGCAUUACAAUACCAACUUCAAAAAUUAAAUUUAAAUUCAAUAUUUUUUUGAGCUGGAUACUUAACAAAUUGGGUAUUAUCUAAUUUGGUAAGUUAUCAAAGAGAAUAAGAUAUUUGAUAUUUAUAGGAUGCUGACAAAUUUGGUAUAUACUACUAAUUUUCUUUCUAAUAUUGUCAUACUAACUAAUUCAAAUUGGUAACCUGCUCAGCAGGUUACUUCAUGUAAAACUCAAUUAUACCCUUUACUAAUUAAGAAUAAGAUUUUAAUAUUUUUGGUGUAUUNUCGACUAACCUUUUAAUGAUGAGUGGAUAAUUGCACCUCAAUCAUUUUAAGUAGUAAAUGUCACCAAACCUCAUUAUUUGAUCGUCCACAUUAACAUUUGCAGAUUAAUAAAUUAGCAUGCACAAUUUGAACUAAUAUUUCAUUUGAACAAUGAAACGAAUACCUUAGUAUCUAAAAUAAUAAUAAUAUAAUAUAGAAUGAAAUGAUAGAUUAACUGUACUCCUUACAUUCAAAGUGUAUGAUUCCCAACAAAAAUAAAAACUUGAAAAUAUAUAUAUUUUUUGCUUUUUAUAUUUUUCUUUUCUUUAUUUAAAAAAGUUAUUCACCACUUAAGUGGAGUGGGUAACAAGUUUACUGAUCCUAACAAUAAGAAAAAGGAUUAAUUUAAAACAGGUCCCUAUAAAUAUAGUGAAUAGUAAAUAUAUUUUUACAAAGUUCAACUUAAUUUCAUAUGUUGUCCCUACAAAAGUCCUGAUGUUUUCAAAUAUAUCACUGCUGUUAGAAUCCGUUAUAAAAGUUUAGUUAACUAUAGAUUAAAUACUUAAUCUUGGUUAAUUUUUAAUAAUUUUACCCUUCUUAUAUUAUAAUAUUAUGGCUUUUGGAGGGAUAUAUAUUUGUGUUAACAAAAUUGAAAAUAUAAACGGUUCUCUAACGGUAACAAGCCAGAGAGAUAUAUUGGAAAAUAUGAGAACCCUAAGAAAAAAGUCCUCCUUGAUGUUGCAUAUCAGAAUAUAUAAAUUAGUCCAAAAAAUAGCAACAAUACCAAACAUGUUAUUGAUUUGUCAACUCUAAACCUACAUAGUAAUAGUAAUAUUGAGGGCCACAAUAGGAUUUUGAAAAUCUUAGCUCCUAUAAUUUUAAGAUAAAAGCAUUUAAAAUGCUAGAUAGUUUCAAAGUGUCCUUUUUUAAAAGCUUUUUCUUUUGAACUUUUUGUUUCAAAAUUUAUUUUUCAAUGAACAACUAUAAUUUCCUAUUAAUUUCUAGUGAAAUUAAAAUUUCUCCAGAUAUAGAAUGAUCUGACUUUUCCUCCAUAUGUGAAUUUCCAUUUAAAAAAAUUAAAAUAAAAAAUAUUUUAAAAAAACAGCUAUGGACUACAAAUAGGGUUGUCAUUUGUCAAUGAGCGGAAUUCAUGUUUAGUGAUUUGAACAGGAUCUGACUUGUUAAAAUGUUGAGUUGAAAAACGAGCCGAACGCAAAUUAGUUCAUGAUCAACAAGUUAAAAGGAUUAGAAAAAAUAUAUAUAGAAAAAAAAUUUAUGAGGUCUUGACGAUUAUAUUUUAAUCUAAAAGUUGAAACUUUGUAUAUAAAUAGGCAUUUUCACAAUUGAGUUGGGCUUUAUAUGUAUUUAGAUCGGCACUACAACAGAAUUAGGUUAUAGGAACACAUAUUUGGAACACUUUUGAGUGAGUGUCCCAUUUAUCCUAAAACUUAAAAAAAUAUCUACUAAUACCUAAAUAUAAAACCCAAUCCAACCAAAAAUAAAAGAUUACUCUACUCAACCCAACACACCCAGUCCAUUUGGCCCGAUUACAAACAGAAAAGAAAAAAAAAAAGAAAAAUCAAUUACCUCUUUUCUUCUCUCUUCACUCAAUCCACUGAAAUUCUAGACGAAGAGCCCUUCCUGUCGUCCUCCUCCGCCACCGCAGCCAACGAGAUAGAGUUUCGGCGGUUGCUAAAUGCUUAAAUAAGUAUUGGUAAAUUAGCAGCACUCUUUUAGGUUAUAGCGACACUCUUUAACUGUCACUAUAUACUAUGGUCGACCCACAUAUAACAGACACUUUUAAAUUGUCGUAAUUUUAGCAGACACUUUUUUACCAUGUACUCUACAUUUUAAAAGUUGCUAUAAUUGACCUGUUUCUGAUUUGUAGUGCGACUAACAAUUAAAUAAUAACUAAUUGUAUAAUAUAUACUUAUAUAUUAUAAUAAUUAUAUAAAUAUAUAUAUAUAUAUUAUAUAUAUAUAUAUAUACUAUAUAGAAUAAGCUACUAUGCUAUGAAAGCAUAAAGUAUGUUUUCCAAAUUUAGCGCCUUAAUCAACCCUCGUAGGGAUCAUCUAAUCAUGUAUUACUAUUAUAACAUGUGACCACUCAACCCCAAGAGACCGAUCAUUCAACUAGUAAUUACUUUAUACAAGCAAAAAUAUGCGGGAAACACAACAUUUUAGUUCCAAUACAUAGAGCUCUAACACCUAAUAUAAAUAUAUAAUUUAAACUAUUUAUUAUAUAUAUAUAUAAGAUAAUAGAAGCAAGAGAAGAGAAGAGAGACAGAGCGAGAGAGAGAGAAGGAGAGAAUAGCAGGGGCUCGUUCCUAGUGAGCAGAAGCCUGAUCUACGAUCCGUUCGAUGAUGGAAAUUCGAAUCGACAUUCGCACGGUUAACCUUGAUCUACGCGUAUUGAGUUUCGAGAAAAUAAUAAUUUAACUGAUUUUUCGAUAGCAUUACCUAGCAAUUCGCAAGGAUUCAAAUCAAUAAAUUUUAAAAGGCUAAACAUAAAACCUAUAAAUAGUGGUGAAUACACUAAAAUUUUCACGACUAGAAAUAUUAAUUUGUUGAAUUAAAGAAUUUUUAUCAAAAUCUCAUAUGAUUGAGAUUACUUCCUACACCGUUAAACUUGAAAAUAAGCAAUAACAACAUUAAAAAUAUGAAUUUGAAUCCUUUGAUCACUAAUAAAUUAAUCAAAAAUCAAAAAAUAGUAGCUGCUGUGCUCUCGAGACACAGAGCCUCCGUGCUCGCCUGAGCCGUUUUCGAUGAUCGGAAUUUUCGAAUCGACAUGCUCCGUUAGACUAUAAUAAUUCUCAUUUUGAUAAUAUUUACCAAAGUGAUCGAAAAGAUCAAAUCCAUAAAUUUUAAUGUUAUAUCUGUCCGUUUAGCGCUGCUGGCUCUCAGGACAGUAGGCCUCGUGUCUCCUGACCGUUUUACGAGAUGAAUUUUUUAUCGACGAUCGCUCUCCAGUUCGGCUUGAUAAUUUUGCGACUUUUUUAUAUCAUUACUAAGUAUCGAACAGGAUCAAACUCCAUAAUUUUAAUGUUGAUAUCUUUUUUCAAGUUUCACGUGUAGAAGUAUCAAACAGAAACAUUUGAUCACAAUUCUUCUACAUCUACAACAAAUUAAUAUUCUGAUCGAAUAAUUUUUAGUUCUACAUAAACUUUUUAUAGGAUUUUUUAUUCAGUCGUUAUAUUAAAAAUUAAUAUAUCAUAGAGAGGCUGCUAGCUCCAGGAGCACGAGCGUUUUCGAUAUGGAAUUUCGAAAUCUACAUACGCUCCGUUAACUUGAUAAUUUUUACGGAUUUUUUGAUAUAUUUACCCUAGUGAUCGAAUGAUCAAAAUCGAUAAAUUUUUAAUGUUAUUUAUUUCUCCUUUUUCAAGUUUAACUGGUAAAGUUUCAAAUCAAUAAAUUUGAAUACAAAAUUUUAUACUAUCUAACAACAAUUAAUCAAUUCGAUGAUCAAAUUUAGUAUUUAUCACCACUUUUUAUAAAUUUUUAUUUCAAACCGUUAAAAUUUAUUGAAUCUUUGAAGUCCUUUUCAAUGCUAGAAAUGAUAUCGAAAAAUCGCAAAAUAUUUUCUAGAAACUUUAAAUCGCUACUCAAGUCUAACGACCGACUCGUCGAUUCGGAAACUCCAUCAUCAAAACGGCUCAGACACAGAGCCUCCGGCUCCCUGAAGAGCAAUGCAGCCCCUGCUAUAUAUAUAUAUUAGGUAUAAUAUAUAUCUAUAUCCGUCUAUAUCUUAUAUUACAUCGUCCUCUAAUACUCAUAAUCCGUUUCGGGUGGGAGAUAGAGCUUCCGAAUUGAUGAUCCAUACCAUUAAACGUUAUCUAGAGCAUUUAAAACUUCUAAAAAUUAAAUUAUCACGUCCCGGAUUAUAGCGGAAGCCCAAGUUACGUCAACAGACCCGCCGCAUUCACAAGAAUACACCUUAUAUAUACGAAGCGUCAACAAAUCUUGUGACGCCCCAACUUCCCAGGGGUUCACCUAUCCUAGGACUACUCCCGUCCCAGCACACUUAACUCUCUUAACCUCUUGGGCCUUGCCACCACCGAAAAUGCUUAAGCCGGGUUAAGAGUUUAGCCCUAUUAUAUCUUAUAUAUAGGACUACCCGGGGUCUCACAAAUCUAUUCAACAAAAUUAACUAAAAUCUAACAAUAAUAGGUAUCAGAGAAAAAUAAAACUAUAUGCUAUAGCUACACUGUAACGAUUUACAAUCAUUACCACACCAAUCUUCAAAAUGGUACAACAUUUCUAACCACUCCAAGUAUCAAAACACUGUACAGGCUGCUCACUAAUAGGUGGUCCAACUACACACACAAGAAGGGUAGGAGAUGCUAUAUAUCCACGAUUCGCUUAUAUCGAUCAGUCGCUGGUGCUGAAGGCUCUGAAAUAAAAUAUUAAAUAAAAGGGUAUGAAAACUAUAAUCAAUAGUUCCCCAGUGGGUACAAUCGUCAACGCUGACGGUCUACACCACUAGGUCCAUAAGAGGCAAAAAUAGUAAAUACUGAGCAAUAUGAAAGAACAUAUACUAAUAUAAAUAAUUGCUGAAAAUAACUGCUACUAUCAUGCCUCUACAGCAUAGCUGAAAUUGUAAAUUAUGUUUUGCAUGUAUCAAUUAGAGACUAAAUAAAAUACUACAAUAAUUACCAAUCAUAGUGAUCGACUCAACAUCAAGUCUAGCCUGCGCAGCCUCGUGUCCAGCACCCACCUAUUGUGGUUUGCUACCACGCAAGCAGCUGUCUGGCCUAUGCCAUAAUAAUAUCUCAUAGCCCAACCUCCGAAAUGGCACUCGCGGGGCACUACCCCAACCGAGUAUAGUAUCACUGUCAAACUUAACGUAGCAUGCGGGCUGUGGUCAAAUGCGAUGAUCAAAUAGAUCAUGAUAUGUUGUCAUAGUGUCCAAAAUACAGUUAUAGUCUCACAUUAUCUGUAGCUAUUUAUUGACCUUUAGAAAAUAUUAUAUAUAUAUACAUAUAUAUAUAUAUAUAUAUAUAUAUAUAGCACGAUUCUCGAGAAGUCAUAAAUUAACAAUUAUACAAUAGAAACUAGAGACAUUUUAUUUAGUCAUGAGAGUCUACUGUGCUCUCAAGAAACGAUACUCGUUGCAAGUAGACGGAGCCUGUUCUCUGGCGCACAUGAGUAGUCUACAUGAUUAGCCGUUUUUAUGAUGGCACAUUUUUCACGAAUCAGUGCAGAUUCGCGUACUAAAUUACACUCUCGGGUAAUAAAAGCUAUUCUACCGCUUACCGAUGUCUUCGAGAUAGACUGUUAGAUAAAAUAUACUCGGUGGAUAUAUUAGAUCAUGUCAGUGUGUAAUAUGAGUUAAUUGAAAUGUUUGAGUCCAGUAUGUCUUCCUGACGAUACAUCGCUCGUCCAAAAUUUUGUAACUGCGUCGGAGAUAAAUGAAUAGACAACAGUAAAUUGGCUGAGUCGUUCGUGCUUCGAUGAGAUGAGGACAUAAACAGUAUCAACUACUAGGAGAGACCUAUCACGUCGUUGGAUGUCCCUGAGCAUGCACACUGUGCGAGCAAUCCCGAUCAACUUUAUCUCGAUUUGGAUAGUAUUCUUGGAAUACGUCGACAGAAUCGAUGAUCGGCUCCGUUAGACCGUGAUAAUUCGAUUGUUCCAAAUAGUAUUAUACAUCUCGUGCAAUAAUAUAGAUAAGCAUUAUUACUACCCUAUUUCAAGUACGUAGAAAUAGGGAAUAAAACACAGUGCAAAGCUCAAACGGUGAGUGUCAAAUUUUAUAUUGAUAUCUUUGCUCGUGAGAUUAUACACAUUAAUGUAGUUCACCGAUUUAUUUCGCUAAGAAAAGGACUAUUAAGAAUCUGUUAGAAAUCACACCCGGGAGAGAUCUAAUAGAACACAUAUUACAUUAUACGAUAGGAAGCUAAGUUACCAUGAAUAUUCAGAAAAGAUUGACAACGAUAAUACGACAUUAUAUAUCACUCGCAUUGUCCUGCAACUGAGAUAUAUGCUAAAUGUUGUUUUCACAUUUUUGGUCUCUAGAACGUUAGAACACAUCGAAUUACGAUCCUAUAAAUUACACUCCAGGCAUAAACAACGAAGUCAAUGUCCGUGUCGAUCUAGAGCUGAGCAUAAAAGUACUGCUCUGUAUAAUAAUACAUUCGAUCGGUACGAACUGCGAGUAUUCAAUGAUAUGUCCAUAUUAGAUUCUCGAACAUGCACACGCAAUCUGUCGCUUCAAAUGACAACUCCGGAAUAAUAAAAAUAUAAUCUACGUUUGACACUCACUCACAUCUCUCGCCCCCUCUCACUAUCACUCCCUCACUCACACACACACACACACACAAUCCACUCAGUGUGUGAGACCUCGAUCCCCUCCCCCACUCCUCUCUCACACUCUCACCCACACAGCUACACUCAACACUGCAAUUUAAAUAACAAAAUUUUUUUAACCAUUACCACACCACACACCACUCUCCUCCCCCCCACACACUCCUCGCUCACACCUCACUCAUCUCUCACCUCUCAAACAAGUUAUUGUUUUGAAUCUUGGAUUGCCUGUCACACUCACUCACUCCCACACAACCCACACACUCUCACACCACACACACGACUCACAGUCUAACCGGACGCCCGGACUGCUCCCCCCCCCACCCCCUCCCCACACCUCACCGCGCACCACACUCACGCCACCCCUCCUCACACACCCGCACCCCCCCCCCCCCUCUCACACACUCUACCACACGACCCCCUACACUCACCACUACUCUCACUCCACCACGCCUCCCCUCAUACCUCAUCAAGUGUCCUUUCGACUCCACACACCCCACACUUGAUGACCAUACACUCACCUCUACUCACACCACUCUCACAACUACACACACACUCACACCAUCUAUUCCACCUCGCACCCACCGCGCUCACCACGUAACACACCCCCCGCACUUCACCAAUACACCUAUUUAGGCAUACGAAGGUCGUCAUCGAAAGGAUUCAAAUCAAUAAUUUUUAAUGGUUGAUAUAUGCCGUUUUCAAGUUUAACGGUGUAGAAGUAUUCAAAUUAGAUGAAAUUUUGAUACAAAAUUCUUUAUACUAUCUACAACAAGAUCAAUAUUUCAAAUCGAAAAUUUUAGUGCUAUAUCACCACUUUUUAUAGAAUUUUUAUUUUCAGCCGUUAAAAAUUAUUGAUUUUGAAUCCUUUCGAUUGCUAGGUAAAUGAUAUCAAAAAAUCGCAAAAAUUAUUUUCUAGAAACUUCAAAUACGUUAGAUCAAGUCUAACGGAGCCGAUCAUCUAUUCGAAAAUUCCAUCAUCGAAAACGGCUCAGGAGCACGGAGGCCUCCGUGCUCCUGAAAGCACAACAGCCCUACUCUAUAUAUAUGUAUAUAUACAUAUGUACAUAUGUACAUAUACAUAUGUACAUAUAUAUAUGUACAUAUGUAUAUGUACAUAUGUACAUAUAUACAUUUGCCAGUAGAGUAAAUUGAGACGUAUAUAUACAUAUGUACGUAUGUAUAUAUACAUAUAUAUGUAUGUAUGUCUCAAUUUACUCUACUGGUAAAUGUCAAACUAUCACUAUUACUCAACUAUAUCAACAGUUCAUCUCACAGAUUAAAUAAUAUAAUAUGGAUAUAGAAAUUAGUCCGUCAAUUUUGACAACACGAAACUCACCUAUAACGCAAGUCCAAGAAAAUGAACGGUAAACGAGAUAGCAGCNAUUAUUUAAUCUGUGAGAUGAACUGUUGAUAUAGUUGAGUAAUAGUGAUAGUUUGACAUUUACCAGUAGAGUAAAUUGAGACAUAUAUACAUAUAUACACGUACGUACAUAUAUAUAUAUAUACAUACAUACAUAUGUAUAUAUACAUACGUACAUAUGUAUAUAUACGUCUCAAUUUACUCUACUGGCAAAUGUAUAUAUGUACAUAUGUAUAUAUACAUAUGUACAUAUGUACAUAUACAUAUGUAUAUGUACAUAUGUACAUAUGUAUAUAUACAUAUGUACAUAUAUACAUUUGCCAGUAGAGUAAAUUGAGACGUAUAUAUACAUAUGUACGUAUGUAUAUAUACAUAUGUAUGUAUGUAUAUAUAUAUAUAUGUACGUACGUGUAUAUAUGUAUAUAUGUCUCAAUUUACUCUACUGGUAAAUGUCAAACUAUCACUAUUACUCAACUAUAUCAACAGUUCAUCUCACAGAUUAAAUAAUAUAAUAUAGACAUAGAAAUUAGUCCGCCAAUUUUGACAACACGGAAUCCACCUAUAACGCAAGUCCAAGAAUAUGAACGGUAAACGAGAUAGCAGCCACAACACUCUAAAAUAGCUCGAAAAUUUCUCGUCAAGAUUACGCGAAAUCCGCUCCUAAAAUGUAUAAAAAAAAUCAGUUUCUAACUCUCAAUUUCUAUAAAAAAUUUAUCAAAAGAAUCUAAAUGAGAAAUAAUAAUAUUAUGAUACUAACCACGACAUCGAAACGCCAAAAUACGCGUGCGCGCACUCGACUCGCUCGCUCGCUCGCCAGAACGAAUCGAGCUUGCUUGCCAAUGUCUCAACCAAUUCCCACUCUCUCUUCAAUACAAGUGAAGAGGAUAAGAUCAAAUAAAAACUUCAGGUGCUACGUGGAUUCCAUGCAAAAUAGCAAAAAUGUCAUUAGGCCCCUCAAAAGUCAAUAUUUCGACUUUAGUCCAAAAUAAUUAAAUCUUGAGUUUCAAAGUCCGUUUUUACAUCUAUUUUGCGCAAAACGUCUCCAACUCAAUAAAGCAUAAAUUUAUACUGUAACCUUGCCAAUUUGUUAAGAUUCAGUAUAUCAUAUCCUCCCCUCCUUAAAAAAAAAUUUCGUCCUCAAAAAUUAAAAUAUAUCUCAGGUCGGCUGCUCAAAUAAAUACGGAUAAAAUUCUCGCAUCGCAUCCUCAGGCUCCCAAAUCGCCUCUCGCUCUUCCUGGUGACUCCAUAGUACUUUCACGUAAGAAAUAACUCUAUUCCGCAAUUCUUUUACUUUUCGUGCAGGAAUUCGAAUCGGUUGCUCAGUAUAACUCAUCUCCUCAGUCACCUCCAGUGGAACAUAAUCUAUUACAUGUGAUGGAUCAAAAAUAUACUUUCUUAAGGCUGAAACAGGAAACACAUCAUUUACAUCGGCUAAACUCGGCGGCAAAGCUAACCGAUUUGCAAUAGGUCCAACACGCUCAAGUAUCUCAAAAUGUCCAAUGAAUCGUGGACUAAGCUUUUCACGCAUUCUAAACCUCUUUAUCCCUUUAGAUAGUGAGACUGAGAAAUACAUGAUCUCCAAUCUGAAACUCUAAGUCUCGACAUCGUGUGUCAGCAUAGCUUUUCUGUCGACUCUAAGCGAUUUGCAAAUGUUGUCGAGCAAUUCUAACAUUUGCUUCUAUUUCCACUAAAAUAUCUGGACCCAGAGUUUUUCUCUUACCCACUUCACUUCAAUAUAAUGGUGAUCGACAUUUUCUUCCAUACAAUGCCUCAAAUGGAGCCAUUUUUAUACUUACUUGAUAACUAUUAUUAUAUGCAAACCCCGCCGUUGCCAAAUGUCGAUACCAGCCACCACCAUACUUGAGGACACAUGCUCUCAACAUAUCCUCAAAUAUUUGAAUCGUCCUCUCAGACUGUCUAUCAGUUUGCGGGUGAAAAGCUGUAUUGAACUGUAACUGAGUUCCCAAAGCCAUCUGUAAAGCUCUCCAAAAGUGUGCUACAAAUCUCGGGCCUCGAUCUGACACUAUAGAGGUAGGAAUUCCAUGCAGUCUUACGAUCUCAUCGAGAUAUGUUUGAGCAAGCUUCUCUCUAGACCAAGUCACUUAGACUGGUAUAAAGUGAGCAGAUUUAGUUAAUCUAUCCACUGUCACCCAGAUCGCAUCAUGUCCAUCCUGUGAUCUUGGUAAGCCAGUUACAAAAUCCAUAGUGAUCCUAUCUCAUUUCCAUUCAAGAAUUAGAAGAUUUUGUAAUUUGCCAGCAGGUACCCGAUGCUCCACUUUUACUUGCUGACAGGCUAAAUAUUGUGAUGCAAAUCUUCCAAUAUCUCUUUUCAUACCAUUCCACCAGUAAUGUGGUUUAAAUCCUUAUACAUUUUCAUUCCUCCAGGGUGUACAGUAUAGGGGGAACUAUGUGCUUCCCUCAAUAUCUCCUCACGGAUCUCAACAUCCAUAGGUACACAUAAUCAAUCCUGAAAUCUUAAUACCCCCGAAGCAUCAACACUAAAGUCCUUCACUUCUUCACUUGCUAAUUCUGUCCAAAUUUUUGUUAAAUGUGGAUCAACACUUUGUUUCUCUUUAAUUCUUUCUAGCAGAUUGGGUUGUAAAACCAUAGCCAUAAGUCUAGCAGAAACUCCAGAGAGUACAACUUCCAAGUCUAACCACCUCAUCUCCUCUAACAAUGCUACUUGAUUAGUAAUCAUUAUACUCAAAUUCUGUACUGAUUUACGACUUAAUGCAUCUGCCACUACAUUAGCCUUGCCAGGAUGAUAAAGUAUUGAUACAUCGUAAUCCUUCAGUAAUUCUAACCAUCGGCAUUGUCUCAAAUUCAAUUCUUUCUAAAUAAAUAAGUACUUGAGACUUUUAUGAUCAGUGUAGAUUUCACAAUAUUCUCUAUAAAGAUAGUGGCGCCAAAGUUUUAGUACAAAAAUCACAGCAGCUAACUCCAAAUUAUGAGUAGGAUUUUUUUUCUCAUAUUCUUUCAACUAUCUGGAAGCAUAAGCAAUUACCCUCUCAUUCUGCAUCAAUACACAACCCAAUCCACUCUGUGAUGCAUCACUAUAAAUAACAAAUCCUUAUCCAUAACAGGAAGGGUAAGGAUACGAGCCGACAUCAAUCUAUUUUUUAAUUCUUCAAAACUCCUUUGGCAAUCCUCACUCCAAAUGUAUUUAAUUCUUUUUCGAGAAAGUUGAGUGAGGGGCAUGGAAAGCUUUGAAAAACCUUCCACAAACCGACAAUAAUAACCAGCCAACCCCAGAAAGCUCCGCACUUUAGAAACACUCGUCGGUGUAGGCCAAUCUCGAAUUGCUUCAAUUUUUUUUGGAUCAACUGCAAUCCCAUCAGCUGAUAUCACAUGCCCAAAAAAGCAAUUUUCCGUAACCAGAAGUCACACUUCUUCAAUUUAGCAUAAAGUUUCUUUUCCCUCAAAAUCUGUAAUACAAUUCUCAAAUGGUCCUCAAAUUCAGCUACACUUCGAGAAUAUAUCAAAAUAUCAUCAAUAAACACCACCACAAAUCUAUCCAAAAACGGUUGAAACACUCGAUUCAUCAUAUCCAUAAACGUGGCUUGAGCAUUUGUUAAUCCAAAUGGCAUUACUGUAAAUUCAUAAUACUCAUACCGUGUUCUAAAUGCCAUUUUGGAGAUGUCCUUAGGUUUAAUCUUCAAUUGAUGAUAUCCUGACUGCAAAUCUAUCUUGGAGUACACAUGAGAUCCUUGCAAUUGAUCAAACAAAUCAUCAAUGCGCGGCAAUGGAUACUUAUUCUUAAUGGUCACCUUAUUCAGCUCUCGGAUUUUCGCGUAUUUGAUGCUGAGUACCGGUACGUACUUGUCGAGUACCUGUACCGAGCCCGAGUAUCGGUACUGCAUCGGGUGAGUACCGGUACCCAGUGUGCGAGGGUGCGGGCUGAAGGCCUGAGUAUCGGUAUUCAAGUGGAGUACCGAUACUCCAGCUGUACUUUUGAGUAGGUGAGGGUAUUUUGGUCCUUUGAUGUGGCGUUCAACCCAAUCUUAUCCUCAGCCUUUAUUAAGGUGUAGAGAGCUCAAAGAGGAGGAUUUUUGUUCUACUCCCCCUCUCUCUCUAGUUUUGGACGUCGCUCGUGGUAGAGGUCGCGGCUAGAGCGUGGGUGGAUUUCGACGUUGCUCCGGAGGGCCAUUCGAGCGCGUGGGCAUCGUGGUUACGCCGUUGGAGGCCGGGUGAGCGCGUAGAUUUCCUCUUUUCGAUUUCGAGCCGACGUUGGACGUGCGAUCGAGGUGGGUUGAUGUUACCGAAAUCGUCGAAUUUCCUUCUAAGUCCUAAAACUGUCAGCAUAUAUGGUUUUCAUGUAUAGUAUCAUGUUUAGUAACUCGAAUUCAUCGAUUGGUAUAGUUGUGUGCAAUCUGAAUUUGGAGCCUUAUUGUUGGAAUAUUUAUUUACAUGUUGAACUUGGAAUUGACUUAGGAGAAAACUCGUUAAAGCUACACCGUCAUGUUUUCAAGAAGUUACCAGAUUUAGCUUAAGAAGCUACUGUACUUUUGUAUCACCGCUAUUAGUACGAGGUGGAUACCCAGAUUAGUGUAGGGUGAGAUUACGCUCGUGCUGAGGAGCCGAGCUCGUGUUACAGUUGAGUGUAGACUGUUUCGUACUGUCGAGUAUCAUCACGGUUGACAGUGGACCCAAAUCUCGGUAUCUUGCACAGAUUGUGCCAAAGGCACGUGAGCUUUGGUUGUUAGACCUGUUUAGACCCAUUUGCAUUGACUACAGCCUAUGAGAGCCUGAUUGAGCUCGCCAGAGACACACUUGCAUACUCGGUUGGGUCGCGCCCACGAGUGCCGCUCCAGAGUCUAGCUACCUUGCUUUGCAUUGAUGUCGUAGUAGUCCGGUUUGGACAUUGCUCUCCACCGACUGCCCUCGGGGUGGUGUACGGUGUAGUUUGGACAGGCGGGACGGGUGUAUCACAGUACCUAGUGAGAUUGGGUCAGUGAGAUGCAUAUUUAUAUCUAUAGAUAGCCUGCGUUGGUUAGUGAUAGUAGAGUGGCAUGUAACCAUAAAUUUCUUUCCAUCUUUCCUUACUAUCCUUUGCACACAUUCUGUAGACUUAGUGGGUGGGCUGUUGAGGUUGGUGGCAGUACCCACUGAGGACUACUUGUUUUAUAAUAAUUCUCACACCCAGUUGUUAACACCUUUUUGAAGAGUCUUCUUUUGUGGCUGCUGCUGUUGUGGAUUCGGACCGUGGAAAGGAAGUCGCGAGCUAGAUCCCUACCAGUUUGAUCGCUGUGCUAGAGGAGGGCCAUCUAGAGGUAGUUUUGGGAUUUUUCUUGUACAUAUUGUUAUGUACAUGUCGGGGUACUCGUUGGAGCGAGUUGUGUUGUGGACCUUUUGUAUGUACAGGAACCCUUUAUGUUAUCUAUAUAUUUCUGUUUUCAGCUCUUACCAUCUAGUUGUAGCUAUGAUUUGUUUAGAGGUACAGCUAUUACUUCGUAUACACGAAAAAUUUCUAUAUAUACGGCGGGUCUGUUGACGUGCUCGAAAAAACGUGGUAAUUCGGGAUGUGACAGUAACCUUGCCAAUUUGUUAAGAUUCAAUAUAUUACACAAAUUUUAUAAUUUUUUGACACCAUUUACCUUACGAUCAAAAGGUCACAAAAUUGUCAAUUUUUAACGGCCGGUAUAAGAUACUUGUUAGUUUAAUGGUGUAAAAGAAUCAGAAUCGGUUGAAUUUUUUAUAGAAAAUUAUAUUCACUAUCUAGAUAAAGAUCAAUAACUCCGAUCUUAUAUUGAAGGAUCCGAUCAUCCAUUUUUAGGACGUCGCUCGAUUUCGACCGUUCAUUUUAUACCCACUUGAUGGAUUUUAUUAUGAUUUCGAAAAAUUACGAAAUUUAUUUUCUAGAAGUUUCAAAUACUCUAGAUCAUAUUUAACGGAGUGGAUCGUCGAUUCGGAAGCUUCAUCAUCGAAAACAACUUAUAAGUACGAAGGACACUAUACUCAUAAGAGUAUAGUAGCCCUGCUCAUAUAUAUAUAUAUAUAUAUAUAUAUAUAUAGUAGGUCUUGUGUGCUAUUAGGAGCACGUUGGCCUCCGUGCACCUAAGCCGUUUUCGAUCAUGGAGCUUCCGAAUCGACGAUCGGCUCAGUUAGACUUGAUCCAGCGUAUUUGAAGUAUCUAGAAAAUAAAUUUUGCGAUUUUUUGAUAUCAUUUACCAAGCGAUCGAAAGGGUUCAAAACCAACGGCUGAAAAUAAAAAUCUCAAAAAAAGUGGUGAUAUAGCGCUAAAAUUUCCGAUUAAAGAUAUUGAUCAUGCAGUAAAUAGUAUAAAGAAAUUUUCUAUCAAAAUUUUAUCCAAUUUGAAUACUUCUACAUCGUUAAACUUGCAAAUGGUAUACAUCAACCAUUAAAAAUUGUUCAUUUUGAACCCUUUUAAUUGCUAGGUAAAUGAUAUCGAAAAAUCGCAAAAUUUAUUUUUUAGAUAUUUCAAAUACACUAGAUUAAGUCUAACGGAACCUAUCGUCGAUUCAAAAACUUCAUUAUCAAAAACGACUUAGGAGCAGGAGGGGUCCGUUCUCCUAAUAGCACACAAGACCUACUCUAUAUAUAUAUAUAUAGAGNCUAUUUAGAACAAGAUCUAUCCUCUUGAUUUUAAUUACAAGACUCCUAUUAUUACUUUUUAAAGAUUUUUAUUUUCAACCAUUUAUUUUUGUGUCCACUUGAUGAACAAGUGAACAAUAUCGAAAAAGUAUGAAAUUUGGUUUCUAGAUAUUUCAAAUGGUAUAGAUCAUAUUCAAUGGUACCAAUCGUCGAUUUGAAGACUCCUUCAUCGAAAACAAAUUUGGUGGCAAUGGAGCCCGUUUGCUACCAAUAGUAUUCCAGCUCAACUCUCUCUCUCUCUCUCUCUCUCUCUCUCUCUCUCUCUAUAUAUAUAUAUAUAUAUAAUUAGGCUGGAAUGCUAUCAAUUGCAUCAAGCUGUUGGUGCUAUUAAGUUUUCGGCACUUGGAUGAAGAAAUAUACUGUUAGGAUGAUGUGGCCCCCUAGGGUUGAAUAAGUUGUCGGUUGAAUAGUAUAAUCUAACGGAUGAAAAUAGUCGACGAAUUAAAUCUAACGGUGUGGAAAACUCGAUAGCACCAAGUUUUUAGUACUAUCGAUAGUAUCCCAGCCGGACUAUAUAUAUAUAUAUAUAUAAUAGGUAUAAUCUUGAUGCACGCCUCGCCGGCCCUCAAGCUAUUUCGCAGGUAUUCGGCACGCCGACAACAGCCCGAACAGACAGAUUCCCUCGGUACCGAUCUAAUGAUGCACACCCUUUGCCACGCCGCGGACCCUAUCUUACUCCGCUGCCUACACUCUCAAGGCGUCCGCCAAUCCAAUACAAUGUACAAAGUUCCCAACCAGGAACACUUUCCAUCAGACCAAAGCUAUUGCAUCAACGAAGAUAUCCCACACCAUAAUCUUGUUAUUACAAGCAUUCACAUCCUCAUAGCAUUACUCACAUCUCCAAAUUACCUCUAUUACAUUCACUCAAUACACAUCCGAUUUAAACAUGAUUAUUAACAACCUCAUGACUUCUCUUUCCAUUUUCUAACAUCACUAAGCAAACGCGAACUCAGGCUAUCCCCAGCUGUAGCUGAAUCAACUCAGGAUUCAUGAGGAGCUCAAGGUGGAUCAGCAACAGGUUGUCCCACGUCGCAUAACUAAGUGAAGCUAAGGUACUCCAUCCCGCCCUCCUCGCGCUGCCCGCGGAAAAAACCGCGCGCCGCAAACUUACCUGUGUAACGGCUGUAACCCAGACCCCCAAAAACAGACGUGGAUGAGAAGCAACUCCAUGGUCCAUCCGGUAUCGACGCCCACCACCAACAGGGAGCUGACCAAUAGUCCAAGGAGGCAACAUGCAAUUAGUUUCAAUAAACAGAUAGAUAUAUAUCUUGAUUACUGCAACAAAUGAAGCAUCGACAUUGCUCACGAAUCAAUUAUGAAGAUCGAUGCAAUGUAUGGCGAUAAACAAUCAGAACUAGUAAUUCAAUCGUUACUAACUUCAUCCAAUUAACAUUUACGGUUUUCUGUCAUUUCAUUUUAAAAUCCAUAAGGUCUCAUAUUACCUUUAUCAAAUAUCACACCCGACCUACGUCUUGAGUCAAUCAUCGCGAAGGAGUGCCGCGUAAAGGCGAACUCGAGCAGGAAUCUCACUUGCAACUCAGCUAAUCCACCAACUAAGGAUAUAUUAAAGCUCAAUACAGUAAUACCCAAUCAACUUGCUAACCCAAAGUUUCGCCCUGAACAAGACUCACGCAAACGCAAAUCGCUAUAACCGGGAGAUACCCGCUAUCAACCGUGGACCGGCCUCAUGGAAAAGCCGAUACAACCCAGUGAUGCAACGAGCACAUCAGCGCACCGAAGGGGAGCUCCACACCUCAGACAAGGAGUAAAGGUCGAAGUAUGAUCAAUGAUCAAAUCCAAAAUCUGAGGAGUCAAUGCUAACUCCAUAUCCUAAUUUAGGCAGACUAUGCUCCAAAUGACCAUAACUCUAAGGUUAAAUUCCUUAAAUAUUUCAUCAUUCUUUCUUUGCAUUCUUAUCUCACUUCACUUGAGUCAUAAUACACUUACGAGAUUCUUGACCAUGUCCACACUGUUUUCUAAAUGUCAACAAACAUAAGUUUCCACAUAUAAUCCUAACAUAGGCCACCAUCUAAUAAUAUAGAUGACCCACGUAGCAAUAAUAGUCAUUAGUCAUUGUUUUUUCAAAAUUCGAUUCUCGAUAAUUCACCUAGCAAGUUUAUACGACACCCAAGUUUCAAAAAAAAAAAAAAAAAAACACAGCUUGUCAUAUUAACACAAUCCAACAAUUUCAAUAUACAUCAUCUAGAUAUUUUACAAUAAAUCAAUAUCAUCACAUCAUAUUCCACAAUAUUGACAUAUAUAUGCCAACAAUUCAUAUAGCACCAACAUGUUUCAUAAAUUAUCAACAUGCAUAUAUACACUCUAACAUAUUACUAUAAUAUAUUUUCAAAUGAUUCAAUUUAAAUUAAAACUCAUUAAUUCAUAUUAGCAUUAUUAAACUUGCAACUCUUACAUACGCAUUUCUACUUGCAUUUUACAUUAACAUGCAUCAUUUUCAUACUUCAUUUACAUCUAUAUGCAUCAACAAUGGAUUCUAUUUGCUUAGACAUAAAGGCGACCUAGUCGCUUCGGAAAGCACAACCCACCUUAAACUCGGGUUCCGAUUGCUUAGUCACUCUGCAUCGCCUCUGCGCGCAGUCAGCUCCGCACCCGGCCACGGCCACGAACUGGCAACUUCACUUCAACCGUGCUCGCUUUCGUGCCCGAAAAUACAUAGUCUUACGGUAUGGGACAAUGCCAGCUCAAAUCCAUUUCCACAAUUUACCUGACGUCGCCGGCCUUCUCGGCGGACCCCGAACUAAACUCCAUUUCUUAAUAAUUGUAACGGCUCGUCGGCAUUUGCGAACCGUCUUGCCAACGCUAAUCUUUACCUAGCAAUUUAGUUUACGAGGGUCAAAUAGAUCAAACGCCAUAUAUUUACAAAAUCCAUCGGAGCCUAACAUUGGCAUAUUAACUCUAAAUAGUCACAAGUAAAUAUAAAACAAAAAAGAGAUGAGCAUGUUAGAAUGCUCAUAUAAAGAAGCUAAUAAACCCUUAGAAAUAAGGAUUAAGCCAAUUGCAUAAAAAGCUUACCUCAAUGUGACGUCAGCGACAAAACCACGCCGCUUCAACGGGCGGAUGAAGCUCAAUCCCUCGCCUCCCAACAAGCGUUCGCAACACUUCUCCACCAACCUCGGAAUAUUGACAGAGAAAUAAGAGAAAUGAGAGCAAAAUCGAGAAGAGAAGGCACGUUUAUCUCUUCCCAUUCUCCAUGCGUGCGUGGGUGUGGGUGUAGUUCCUGAGCUUGAAUGAGAAAACGAAGCACAAUUGACUCUUAUAAUACUUUAACACCCAAAAGCCUAUCACUGUUCAGUCAGUUUUGCAGUUCGACAACAGUUGCGAACGCUCUUCUAAUAUCCGUUGAGGCUCCAAAUUUGGACCAGUCUUCGAAUUACGUACUGAAUAAUAAUACAUAUUUAGUUUAGCUUUGACGUCGUUCGUGCCACAUGAAAACUGAACCGAAACGUAAUCUUUAUCAUAAGCUGUCGGAUUAUUUCUCACAUGCGUCGUCUACCGGUGUCAGUAAAAAUAUGAAAACUUUAAAUCAUAGUCUAUAAAAUAUUCUACUAUUAUCACCAAUUUUUCCAUAAAAUUUGAGACUGGUGCAUUUUCGGCUAAUUUAUCUGUUCCGUAUUUCCAAAACAAAAUUCUAAAAUCUACUUUCAUUCCGAUUUCUGCACACAGUCCAUUCUGACUACUAUGUUACUUUCUAUAAUCUCAUAAAAAUAUUUACUCAAUAUUUUAUUAUUUUAUUUUUAUACCAAAUCUGGACGUUACCAUAUAUAAAAUAAAUAUAUUUAAUAAUAUACAUAACUAUAUAUUAAUUAUUUAAUAGAUAAUAUAAAUAUAAUAUAUUAAAGAUUGGUUAUUUAUAUAAACAAGAUUUCGAAAUACGAGUGAACUGAUUUUAAAUCGUAUUCGGCUCGUUUAUUUAAACGAGCUAAAAAAUUCAACUCAUAUUCGACUUAUUUAGGAGAAGAGCGGUUCGAUCUCGGCUUCAUUUCGAGCGGAGUACGAAUUGGCUAAGAAAUAGCGAUCAGGAUUGCCACCUAGCUAAUACUUGGAGUCCCGCGUAAGUGGCAGGUUAUUAAAUUCCAAGACAGUUGGAGGGCAAAACGGGAAAGAGAGCGCAGCUUCGCGGCACCAGGAUACUGGGGCUCUAAGAGGUCCAGCAUUUUCCCCAGCGCCCCCACGUAAUCUGUCAGAGAGAAAUACUACACUGUUAUACUUGUACCAUAUCAUUAAUAACAAGCUAAUCACAUUCCUUCUUUUCAAAUAAAAAUAUAAUAAAAAUAUUUUUUUACAAUCAUGAUGGAUAUAUAUUUUUAAAAGAAUUAAUUUGAUUGAUUUGUUACGUCACGUCACUAAUAUACAUGUUGCAUUCCAGAAUUUUUCAUAAACGGACCAAUCACGUCCCCCUUUGUAGCCAUACAAACUUGGUCUUUGAUGACGUGGUGAACCUGGUCUACGAGAGUAAUCAGACCUACAAUUGAAGGCGUAAUCCAUCGAACACGUCGACAUGAUGCCACGCUCGCUGGGCCGUAUGAUACGGCCAACGUGGUCCCCAGAAAUUUUCGCGCGUUUAGACGAUAAUACCCCUCGUCGGCUCCCGAAANAAUUUUCGCGCGUUUAGACGAUAAUACCCCUCGUCGGCUCCCGAAAGGGAAAGCAGUAAGUUAUGGGUAAAUUGUAUGAUAAAGCCUUCUUUUUUUUUUAAUUUUUCAAUAUAUUAAAAAUCAAAGUCUAAUUCAAGCAAAAAGAAAUUUACCAGAACUCUUCCAAUUUCUAGUCGACUACCUAAUGUUUCAAAAUUUUGAUAUUGCUACCAAACCUUUCGAUUUAUUUUAUUGGAUUCAGUCUAUACUACUUUAUUUUUAAAAUUUAAAUUAUAAUUGAUUAUUUUGAUAAAUUUAUAAUUAUAAGAAUUAUCUGAAAUAUACUAACUAAAUCUAUAAAAGUAAAUUAUAAAUUCAAAUUUUAAAGUCAAAAAACUAUUGACAAAUUCAAAUCAAAUAAAUUAAAAAAUUGGAUAGUAAAAUUAAAAAUUUUUAAAAUUUUGAUAAUCAACUAAAAAUGAUCGGUACUUUAAAUAAAUUUUAGAAAUUUUUACUUAAUUAGAAAGUAAGAAAAUUGAUCCAGAGUCACGUAAAAGUUAAGAACCUACUUGUGCCCCCUUGCAAUUAAGGGCUUAAUUAAAAAUUAGAUUAAAAAAAAAAACAAAUACCACUCUUGUGUUUCAGCAUUUUUUUAUUUUAGUUUACUAUAGUUUAAAUUGUAUCAUUUUAAUAUUUAUAGUUUUUUUUUUCUUUUUCGUAAUCCUCUCCGUUAAUUUUUUAUUAAAUAAGUGAGAAAAUUAAAAUCACAAUAUACUAAAGUAAAAAUAUCGUAAACUAUAAGAUAGUAAAGUAAAUAUUAGAACCUACUUGUGCCCCCUUGCAAUUAAGGACUUAAUUAAAAAUUUGAUUAAAAAAAAAACAAAUACCACUCUUGUGUUUCAGCAUUUUUUUAUUUUAGUUUACUAUAGUUUAAAUUGUAUCAUUUUAAUAUUUAUAGUUUUUUUUUUCUUUUUCGUAAUCCUCUCCGUUAAUUUUUUAUUAAAUAAGUGAGAAAAUUAAAAUCACAAUAUACUAAAGUAAAAAUAUCGUAAACUAUAAGAUAGUAAAGUAAAUAUUAGAACCACUUAGCGCCUUGCAAUUAAGGGCUUAUUGAAAUUAGAUAAAAAAAAAACAAAUACCACUCCCUGUGUUUCAAUUAUUUUUAAUUUAGAUUUUCUAAUAGUUUAAAUUGUUAAUAUUGUUAAUAUCUAUAGUUUUUUUUUCCUUUUUCGUAAUCCUCUCCGUUAACUUUUAUAUUAAAUAAGUGAGAAAAUUAAAAUCGAACAAUAUACUAAAGUAAAAAUAGGCGUAAACUAUAAGAUAGUAAAGUAAAUAUUAGAUAAAUCAUAAAAAUUGUCUAAAUUUUUUUAUAUGUUCUAAAAAAAAAGCUUAAACGGAGUUCUAAUGAAAGAAAAAAUAAAAAUAAAAUUAUAGAGUAAUAAAGUGAUAAAUUUAAAUUCUAUCGUAAUAAAAUAAUAAACAAAAAAACCAUAAGGAAAUAUUUGAAAUUUUUUUUAAAAAAAAAAAAGAAAAGUUAACGACCUUGGGUAAAUUACCCACAAAAUUUAGGAAUAAUUCCAGAUUAAAGAGUUGCCGUACGAUUGGGCCUUCGUGUAAACAAUCAGGGGCAAUGUUGUACUUCCAGUGGGAAAACAAACUCACAGUGACUUGACCCGCAAGCAUGUCAAUCCCUUCGACCGUCCUAAAAAUUAUCCCACUUGCCAAAAUACCCUCACCGCCUCACGAUUAUUACGAAAACACACCGCCCCCCGCUCCGUCCUUAUAUAAGCAAUUCCCCACCGCGUCCCCUUCGCUCUCCUCCUCCUCCCUAUCUAAACCCUAAACGCGACUCGUUCAAUCCCCGAUGCGUCUUCGUCUCCCCUCGACCCCCCGAAACCCUACCCGAGUAUGAUUGAGUAGAAGGUUCGCGAUGAGCAUGGCGGCGGCGGAGGCGGCCGGCGGUGAUCCCCCGGUGGUGUUCUUGACAGGGCGCACAGAACAUCAACCCUCGGCACGGUGGCGGUGACCCGCACGCUGGGGUUCAAAGAGGUUCCAAGCGGCGAUCGCGCAGCGGAUGCGGGGUGCGCCGCACCAGAUCUCGGCUCGCCUGGUGUCGGCCCGCGGUGCGGCGCGGACGGCGGCGGCGGAGCUGAGCGGGAGGAGGAUCCCGAUCGACGGGUCGUCCGACCUCGCCGCGAUCGCGCGCGACGCGGGGAUCCUACGUCUCGGCCGCGCUCCGAAGGCCGCGGCGGAGGGGGAGCGGUGAUGCCGCCGGGGGCCGGAACGGCGAGCGAAUAAAAGGCGCGACGGCGCCGGAGAAGAAACGAUUUCUUAGCGGAGCGCGGCGUCGGGAUCCCCCGAUGAUCGUCGCCGCAUCGCCGUGAGGCUGGGGCUAGAGUUAGGUUUCUGGGACUAACGAGACUCAGCUCCGGAACCUCCAGAGGCAGCGGGAGUCCUACCCUCCUCUCCACGGCGGCGGCGGCGGAUACCUACGCCUACGGCGGCGCCGCCGCCGCGCGGAGCCGGAUGAGGAGGAGCGGCGGCGUGUGCUGCGGAGAGUGCGAGGCGGCGGAGAGCAGGGAGGGGGCGGAGUUCCAUGGUGCGUGAGGACGCGGUGACGAGGGGGUUCCGUUCGCUCCCUGGCCCCACGAGAGGCCCCCGAAAAGCGCGUCGAAGCUUCCGCUUAGGUGGCGUACGCGCAUUCGGAUCAGGUCGCCGCCUCAAACCCUAAUUCUCUCCCUUUUUUUUUGCUUUUUUUUUUGCACUUUUCCCCCUAAAUCAUUACUAUUAUUAUUACCACUAUUUUAAAAUCCAAGAGAGAGAGAGAGAGAGAGAGAGAGAGAGAGAGAGAGAGAGGAAGAAGAUUUUCUGUUGAGAUCAGUAUGGGGCGGGGGUUUUUGUCAUUUGUGGUAUAGGUUGGGAGACACGUGUAGGUUUAGGAUAAGCGGUCUAAUUAGCCGUCAGAGAGAGAGAGAGAGAGACUCUUCAUUUGUGGAUAUUUUGUAGUUAGUGGUGGUGGUGGCCUGGUGGGUGUAAUUUGCUGGGAUUUGGUAAAAAAAACAUGAUGUAAUAAAAUUAGGAGAGAGAGAGACGAGAAAGAAGAGGGAGAGGAGGGGUGGGGGAUUAAGUGGGUCCACAUUAACGAGUGUGUGCUGUGGCUGUUGGUUUGACUGUUCUCCCCUUUGAGAUGAAAUGAAAUGAAUUGUUCUAGAACAAAAUAUCUAAAUAUAAACAAACCAAAAAAAGAAAGAAAGAAGAGUGGUUUUGUAUUUGUUGCGACACUGUUUCUUAUGGGGCCUCAUCUGCAAUCUGGAAUGGUCUGAAUGCCCAACAUGAGCUGGUUUGAUAACCACCUGGAAAAAUAUGACCAAACAAAUGAACUGUUUGGAUAUCUUGGAUCUCUUUGUAAUUACAUUUUUAAUGUUAAAAACAUAUUAAUAUCAUUCUUUUCCACAAUAAAGAAAGAGAAUGAAUGGAAGUAAAAAAAUCGAAUAAAUUAAUAAGGAAAAAAAAGAAGAGUAUAAAUAUAAUGUGUGUUUUUGUUUAUUGUAUAAAACAGAACCAAAGCUAUUUGUUGGUAAGUAGUUUUCAACACAACAUUACCGCUAACUAAGGAGAUCCCAAUUUGGAUGUUCAGAUUUGUAUAUAUUUUAUUUAAUUGGUGCAAUAAGUGUGAAAUUGUAUGAAUAGUGUCCAACUGUAGUAAUUAGAAUAGACAGAAUCCAAAAAUUUAUAGUAGGAGUUCGGCUGUAGGCAAAUUGAGGAAGUAGCAAGUAAAUUGUAAGGAAAAAUAGAAACCUUACCGUCAUAGAUUAUGAUUUAUAAUAAAAAGAGAUAUUGUUUUUUAUAUAAAGUGACGAAUAUAUAAAAAUAUAUUUUAAACUGUACUCCAUAUUUCUUCUUAUUAAAAAAAAUUAUUAUAUCGAGUAGUCAUUUUCUAUUAGAAUCUAACCAAUAAAAGUAUAUAAUAUAAUAUGAUAUAAUUUUCAAUGACGUAAUCUUAUUAAAAAUUUAUCUUUAUUUUCAAGGAUGUUCAAGCCAAACGAUUUCAACUAACUUCUCGCACAGCUAAUAUUGUACUGGAGUUAUAUCAAUCGACAAAGUCAGCCCUAAAAAUUAAAACAACGCUCCUAGCUGGAAAACGUGGAAAUUAAAACUCAGCUGUGAGUUCAUGUUUGGUAUCAAAAUUGUUGAACAGCGUGGUGUUUGGAAAUUAAUUUAUCUACUAAACACCAUGGUAGGACUUGCUUAGUCAGAAUUAACAUUUGCUUUGAAAAAAAUAAGACUUCAAGCAAUUGCGCUUUUACACGGGCCGCGAAGUGGCAAAAAGAUUUGAUGUUGAUAAAUUGUUCAACAAAUUUCUAUAAUUUGAAAGUCUAGUUAUUUCAUGAUUUUUAACUAAAAUCUUAUUUGAUAAAGAAAUACAACGAUGGAUAAUAUGUACUUUUCUCUUAAAAAAAUUUUCACAAAUAAAAAAAGAUGGCCAUUACUAAAAGGGAAAUGAUUGUAAUUAUAUUGGUAGCUGGCAAAACAGAAAUCAGAAAUUAAAAGGCUGCUUUUCAUAGUCUGAGGAAAACAUAAAGACGAUUUUAUAAAAAAUAGAUAAUGAAAAUAAUCAGUAAAGUAUCUGUUUGUUCGGGAUCAAAGUAACAAAAAGUGCCUAUUCCAAUGGAUAAAUAUAAAUUGAGGUAUACAACUGGGAAUUAGAUCAUUUUGUGUUUGGAUGAAAAUUGGAUUAUUCUAGAAUAAAAAAAUAGCGUUUGGUUAGGUAAGAGGAAUAAAAAUGACUGGAUGGUUUUAUAAAGUAAAAAUAAUGAUAAUUACCACCUUAUUAUAUUUGAAUUUGAAUUUUUAAAUUAUAUUUUUAAAUUUAAAAUUUUAACUUUGAAUUUUAAAAUUUAAAUUAAAAUUUAAAUUAAAAUCUCAAAUUUAAAUUCAAAAUUAAAUUUUAUAUUUCAAAAUAUAAUUUAAAUCAAAAUUUAAAUUUCAAAAAAUAUCCAAAAUAGUCAAAUUUUAAAUUUUAAAAAAAUUUAAAGAUAUUAAAAUUUAAGUUAAAAUUUGAAAUUUAGAUUUAAAAAUUAUAAACUUUAUAUUUUGAGAUAACAAAUUAUAAAUUUUUAAAAAUUCACAAAUUUUAAUUUUAAAUUUUAAAUAAAGAAUAGGGCGGAAACGCCAUUAAUAAAAAUAAUUAUAUUAUAAUAAAUUUAUAAUUUUUUUUAAAAUUCUACUUAAACUUUAAGGCCAAUUUGCAUAAAAAGUCCACAUAUUUGAUUUUUUGCAAAAUCGGCGCAUUUUUUCAAUUUUUUCGCAGAUUCGUCACGGCUUUUUCAUCAGCAAACUGACCAAGAAUACCCUUAUACUUUUUCUCAUUAUCCUCUUCUCUUUCUUCUUCGUUUCUUCUCGGUUCUUUUUUUUUAUCAGCGGUAGAUGGCGGAGGAGGAGCGGAGGCAAAAACGAUCCGUCUCGCCUAUCUCACCCUCAUACCUCGCCCUCAUGCCCUUGGGGCCCAUCGUGCCAUGCACCCCCCACCUUCCUCUGCCUGUUCGACCCGUAUAGAUGCCGCGCCGGACUUUUUUUUUUUUGCUUUUCUUCUUAUUCUUUUCUUCUACCGACUCUCUCUCUCCACCGUCUCCGAGACUGCAUCCUCUGCCGUCCCUUCCCACACCUUCUCAUACUCUCCCUCUCCCUCAUUUUCAGCGCGCCUUCUCCGACGACGAUUUAUUUUCGCCGGCGCGACGUCUUGAUCACCGUAAGGUUCUAUUCUGCGCGCUUACAGCCGUCGGACGGGGGUUCCUUAGCGGCGUCCGCCACCGCGCGUUCACUCGCUCCGUAGCUGUUUUGGCAGAGAGAUUGACAAAAAAAAUUAUAUAAAAACAGAAAAAAAAUAAAGAUAAAAAAUUAUAUAAAAAAAAUGAUGGAGAUAAAUUACAUCAUUAUUACAAAAAAAAAUUAUAGAGUUUGCACCAUUGUAAGAUGUAAACUGCUGCUUCUUAGAUAAAAAUUAUACUACUUGAACGAAAUAUACAUUUUAUCUUAAACUGGCAUCCUUUAAGUGAUAUUUGAUACUUUUCUUCUCUUGUUGCAAAUGUUCUCCACUUUGUUGCACUUUUACCUCUAUUUAGACACAGAAAUGGUGCAACCAAGAAGCAGAAAACAUGCAACAAGAGGAGAAACAGUAUAAAUAUCUCUUAAAAGGGUGCAGUUUCUCUUCUUAUUGUAUUAUUUCUCCUCUUGUUGCACUAUUUCUCUUAUUGUUUACACAGAAAUGGUGCAAUAAGAGAAGAAACAGUGCAACAAGAGAAGAAACGGUAGAUAUAUCUCUUAAAACAGUGCAGUUUCUCCUCUUGUUGCACUAUUUCUCCUCUUGUUUACACAAAAAUGGUGCAACAAGAGGAGAAACAAUAUAUAUAUCUCUUAAAACAGUGCAGUUUCUUCUCUUCUUGCACUGUUUCUCCUCUUGUUGCACUAUUUCUCCUCUCAUUUACACAGAAAUGGUGCAAUAAGAGGAGAAACAGUAUAAAUAUCUCUUAAAAGGGUACAGUUUAAGAUAAAAAAUAGUAUAACCAGAGGAGAAAUGGUGCAACAAGAGGAGAAACAGUGCAACUUUUGUUUAAAAAGUGUAACUUUCAUCUUAAUGGAUGCAGUUUACAUCUAAAAGAGUGUAAUAAGAAGAGAAACAGUGUAAAUAUUUCUCAAAGAGUGUAGUUUUCAUCUUAAAGCUGCAGUUUACAUUUUAAAUAGUGCAACUUAUAAUUUUUUUUGCAGUUAACGAUACAAUUUGAUGUUCAUCCUUCUUUUUAUAUAAUUUUUUAUCUUUAUUUUUUUUUUCUGUUUUUUCUAUAAUUUUUUUUUGUCACCUUCUCUGUCAACAGCCACGGUGCCGGCGACGACAACAGCCAAAAUCCCUUGCUAUUCCAGGAUAAUCGAGAAUAGUAAAAUUUGAUCGGAAUAAAAUAUCCCGAUAAUAAAUCUUUCCGUUUGGCGGAAUAGCGGGGAUAAUUUUCAUUAUCCCCGCUUAUCCCCUGAACCAAACGUGGCCAAAGAGUAUGAAGCAGGUGGUUAUUUACAGCGAAUAAUGUUAUGAAAUUGUAAAAGAAGCAAACUAAAUUUUUUUUUGGCAUAAUGAUUACUUUUUUAUUUUUUUUUCAAGAACUAUUUGGAUACACAGAGAUAUUUGGAUACUCAAAAUAAAAUAAAAUUGUAUAGUACAUUAUAUAUUUCCUGAAAUNAGUUUCGUUUGGAAAUUAAUCUUACACUAAACAGUGGUAGGACCUGCUUAGUUCAGCUUAACAUUUGUUUUGGAAAAAAAUAGACUUCACAGUUGCCUUUUACACGGGCCGCGUAAGUGGUAAAAGAUUUGAUGGUUGAUAUUCAAAAUUCUAAAUUUGAAGUCUAGUUAUUUCAUAUUUUUAACUAAAUUUAUUUAUAAAAGAAAUAAACGAGUGGAUAAUAUCUUACUUUUCUCUUAAAAAAUUUUCAAAAUAAAAAAAAAAUGCCAUUUACUAAAGGGAAAUGAUUUGGAAUUAUAUUGGACUGCAAAAGAAAGUAGAAAUAAAAAUGUUGCUGUUUCUUGUUGAGGAAAACAUAAAACAUUUUAAAAAAUAGAUAAUUGGAAAAUAAUCAUAAAGAGUAUGAAGCAGGUGGUUAUUUACAGCGAAUAAUGUUAUGAAAUUGUAAAAGAAGCAAACUAAAUUUUUUUUUGGCAUAAUGAUUACUUUUUUAUUUUUUUUUCAAGAACUAUUUGGAUACACAGAGAUAUUUGGAUACUCAAAAUAAAAUAAAAUUGUAUAGUACAUUGUAUAUUUCCUGAAAUUUUGAAAUUUUUAGGGGAAAAUAAAAUUUCAUUUUUAUCUAUGCAAGAAAGAGAAAAUAAACCAAGGCUUUCCAACAAAAUAAAAUUAGUGUAUUUAUAAAUAGGUAACUGUCUAUUGUAACACAACUUUCGAGUUAAAAGAAUUAUUUUAUAAAUGUUUUUAUGAGUUACCGAAUACGUUCUAAAGUGUAAAAGGAAAGGGCCAAUGAUACCUUUACUAUUUCAUAAGUUUAAUAUAUUUAGUAAGUUAUUGAUAAGAUCGGCAUAUAGAUAUUGUUUCAGAUUCUAGAAAUUGUCACGAAAUUCUAUGUGACCAAAAUGUCGAUUAAAUAUAUAUAUUUUUUUUUUUUUAAGUACACGAAAUAAGGGUCUGCCUGGAUACUCCACAAAACAGAGUAAUAAUUAAUUUAAAGUGUAUCUUUUACAACUCUUGAAAUAUUGCAAGAGGCAUAUUUGGAUAAGUUUUGAAAUAGUAAAAAAAAAAAAAAGGUAAUUAACUCAAAAUAGAGUUUUAUAUAUAUAUAUAUAGAGAGAGAGAGAGAGAGAGAGAGAGAAAAAGAGAGAGUCAAGUUCAAAUAACAAAAGUGUAAUAGUUAAUAGUAUUACAUUCUUUUUGAAUCAUAGAUCUAAAUACAAUUCAUGGGUUGAGAUAAACCAAUGGCAACUUUUUUUGUUUCUAUAUUAAAAUACUUUUUUUUACUCGAUGUGACAUUAUUUUACUAGCCUUGGAUGUGACACCACUUUCUUACCUCCAUCUUUUUUUUUUUGUUUCCGAGCAUAAAAGUUUACAUAAUAUUUUUUAUCUCAUACUUAGAUAUAAGGUUUGUUACUAUAAUUAUCUACAUUAACUUAAUUUUAUGUGCACAUAAAACAUUCAUUUUUCAAAAGUGUGAAAGCAUAUAAAGAAGUUUAACAGUAAAAUAUAUUAUAAGGAUUAUUGCUAUAAUUGGUUCUUGAACUUUACUUUGUUAAUAAUUUCUUGAAACUUUUAUUCAUUUAAUGUGAAUUAUUACAGUCAAUUAAAUUUAAAUUUUUUAUUAAAUUAAAUUUCAGUGUAUUAAAAUCAAUUGCAACCAUCCAAAAGCAUUGAAAGAAAUAAAAUAUUGAUGAUUUUUUAUCUAAAUAUUGUUAGUUUAUUAUAUAAAUUAUUUUUUUAAAAAAAUUUAGCUUAUAUUAGAAAUUAUUAAUUGAACUGUGCAUGGAAUGUGCGUACAAGGUUCUCUCAAUUAGUAAAGAAAAACUGAUUACAUAGUGAAUUUACAAUGGAGGAAAAAAAAAAAGAAAGUGAAAUCCAAGGUUAUUGUAGUGAUGUCACAUCCUAUGGAGGAGAAAAUAGUAUUUUAACAAAGAAACAAAAAGUUGCCCAUUGUUUUAUCUCAACCCUUAGAUUGUAGUUAAUCUAUGGUUCAAAAAGAGUGUAAUACUGUACACUAUAACAUUUAUGUUAUUUGAACUUGACUUAUAUAUAUGGAGUUGAGUUAGAAUACUAUCGAUAGCAAAUGGGCUUUGUUGCCACCCAUUUGUUUUCGAUGAUGGAGCACCCAAAUAAACGAUCGACACCGUUUAACAUGAUCUAUACCACUUAAAGCAUCUAGAAAUCAAAUUUCACACCGGUUUCUCUAACCGAUUUCUGCACCACAACCGAGCUAUAGUCAAAGCUCCGAGAAUUCCUACAACAAUCUGGAGUCUCUCGAAUCAAGAAGAAACCUAUCACCAACCACAAAUUAACCCACAACACACUAAUUUAGGUAUUAGAAUAACCGCAUACGAUAUAUGCCUCAACGAAAACUUGACACCAAAACUGUGUCAAUCCGACUCUAGUAGGAAGAAUGAACGAGGUAAAGGUUAAAAGAUCCGAACCGCUUAUUCCAAUCAUCAAUCAAGGAGGAUAGGUAGGCAUCACAACCCCACCCAAAGGUCUCCGGAAGCAACACUAACAAUGUAGUCACUGAAACGACCGCUAUCCAAACCCUGGGCUACACCCUAGUAGCCCCACUGAAGUCGCGACCGUAACUGGUCUAAGCACCGUCUCCGUAGAGACAUUCGCAGUAGCUCUCGUGUCCUAAGUAGAGAGAGUAGCCUGGGCAUCGGCAGUUAUGACACUCGCCUAGGCCCGAAAAUCUCACUUGGCCCUUCACGGCCCCACCUAACAGGAGUGGCAACACCUGGGGAAUAUCGUCCCACCACUCGAUGUCCGAAUAAGUACACCGCCACUACUCCCGACUUAGACACCAGCUUGUGCGAACCGUAACACCUACAGAAACCAUGCACUUCGGGUUUAACCCAACUCGAAUGCACGCCGGGACACAAGCCCAAACCCCGCACUCACGUGCCUAUAUAUCGUAGGUCUUCCUAUGGGUCAACCUAACCAAUGGUUCAGUUUCAUUUACUUUUCAAAACAAGCUGUGAAUGGUGUUGUGGUUGUAAUCUGGCUCUGAUACCACUUUAAUCUGUCACGCCCUGGGGUCCCUUUUUAGUUUAAAGCAUAGCGGAAAAGCGUCUGAAAUUUUUUUUUUUUUUUUUUUUGAAAACCUAACCCCAGAGUAUGCCAGAUCCGCCACAAAUACAGGAGAUCCACUGUUCACACGGAUAGAGUCUCCCCUGUAUUUGCACGGCGUCGCACAAGUACAAAAAUACAACCAGGAUACAACCACAACUAGAUGAACAUCCAAAUGACCAACAGAUAUACAUUUAUACACUAUUCACCACAGGUUCACAUUAAUACAUUCGAUAUUUAAAUAUAAAUCCACAGAAAAUUUUUUGAAAACUGUUCCCUACACAGGAACUUUUAUCUUUAUAAAACGCUAACACGAGGGGUAGAAAACCUUUUAUUUUACAAAAUCCAAAAAUUCUUUUAUUACAUUCAUGAAAAUCUACAUAUUCAAAUAUAAUAAAAAUACUGAACCAGGUAAACUAUCUAAACUAUGUCAACAGAAUAGUAAGGGUAGGAACUAAACCAAUAAUCUGGGUCGGAAGCUCUAUCGACCGUUACGAACGUACCUCACGUCUCGUCCCAAAACUUAUCGCCUGCAAUACCUGAAAAAUGGUGGGGGAAGUGAGAACAUGUAAACAUGUCUCCCCUCCCAGUGGGUACCGCAAGCCGAAGAAGGCGAGGAGUACUCACCGGAUCAGGAAGAGAGCUAUACAACAACACGGAGAACUAGAUAGACAUAAGUGCUGGUAAGUAAAGAUGCUGAUAAGUAAGGAGCUGACAAGUAUAGAUGCAGGUAAAUAAAACAGUAGCUACAAUAAACAGAUAAGGAUGUACUGGAAAUAAACACUACAGCUACUGUAUGCAUGCGUCAACUGACGAUAACCUCAAAAGUACCCAAUCUCGCUGCCCUAUUGGUCCGAAGACCUCAGGCCCAUGCCACACUGCUCAACCUGUACCUGACCCUCGCAAUGAAGCCCCUGGGUCAGAAGCACAGUACCUGACCCUCGCAAUGAAGCCCCUGGGUCAGAAGCAUAUACCCUCGCAAUAAAGCCCCUGGGCUCACGGGUUGGCAAUCCAACCACUUUUCCGGAAAAGAACACCCUCUUGCGGUGGAUCAGACCGCUGGUGUUCGUGAAAUGCGUACCUGGAGUGGCGAUCAAUGUAGUAUGCUCAAAGAUCUUCCAUCGGCAACUAGCCGACAAUCCAGCCCCUCAGGGCACAUCGACCGUAUAGGUCAUCAGCAACUAGUCGGCUACGUAUGUCAAGAUAGAACUGUAGCAACUCGACCGAAUAGAUCAUAGAUAUCAAAAUAGGGGAACCACCCAACUAAAUCACAGAUAUAGUGAACAGAUAAGUCAACUCUACUUCUAAGUAUGAUAUCGACAUGAAAAUAACUGAGUAGAGGAAUGCAGAUAAAAUGCAGGUGCAAGGUUCAAUAUAACUGUAAGGUAGAGUAAACAGUAGGGGUGAAGAAGCGUCACCGAGCGUGCACCACUGUACCAAUACGGGUCGAAGUACCUACCUGUACAACUGUCGCGCCUGUCUCCUGACUGCAAAAGAACGUCAACCGGACCUAAGGAAGGUCCACUGGGUUAGUAUCUAACCCACAACUAAGAAACCCUAAAAGCAUACUCCCAUAAUUAAACCCACGAGAAUCGGUUUCCUAAACCGAUCGCCGUAAUACGCUCGAAAUCCCGUAAUCACACCGAGACUCUGCUGAGACCCAUGGACUGUCCCGGAACUCAUCGACUCGUACUACGAGUCACCCGAUGCCCGAAAACACAUCAAAUUGGAUGUCUAGGAAGCAACAAAACUAACUCACAUUGAAACGAUUAUCGUCGAAUAAUCGUUCCGAUCCGGGUUUCCGGAAGUGUCAAUUUCGACACUGGAACCCACCGUCGCUCACCCGUCAUUUCUGAACUCUCGAAAUGAUGCGAGUGACCAGCCAAUAAGGCUCAGCGACCACGCAAUAGCUCACGAAGCACCGUCGGAAGAAUUCCGAACUAAAACCGCGUUUCGUCGGCGGAUUUUGCCGACAAACGCACCAGAAAAGUAUUUUUGAUCUCCGCAAAGGUCUGAGGCCUUGGACAAUCAGUCCAGAGGUUACCCACUGCCCGCGCACACUGCCAACAGCAGCCACAAAAUAAACAAUUGCACAAAAACCCUCCCGAUUACCCGAAAUCGCAUUAUUUCAUACGAUUUAGGCUCUUUUAUGGUCCGUCUGCACAAACCAGAAGUCAUUCAGCCAAACCGAGACACCUACUGACAGGUCUCGGCGUGCCGGAGGCCGUGCUCACCUUUCGGAGCAAUUCCGGCCACUGUGGGGAGCGCACGAGCGACGCGAAAUUCAGUAAACUACGCGCACAGCAUGAAAAUCAUGCUUAUCUCGCUAACCAGGGGCUCGCUGACCCUAAUUGAGGUGAGCACUGUGAUCAGCACUGACUGACGAUCACCAUGCUCACUUCCGGAGGCAUCGAAACAGCCUCGGGUCGCCGGAACAGUAUACACAACCCCAAACAGUGCACAAUAAUUGCAAUACAAGCUUACCGAAGCUAGGCAGGGCUCGGGGUGGCCGGCGGCGGCCGGACAGCGGGCAGGCCGGCCAGGGGAAGGUGCUCCAGGUCAGAGGAGGCCGGGGCUCGCGUCAACAGGCGACGGGAGGCGGCGACGACGGCGGGCAUUGAUGCCCUUGCUUCCCAAACCCGUGGAGAGCAAGGGCCCAGUCCGGCCAGUAGAUGGUUUCGGCGGCGGGAGCGCCGGUGGUGGGCGAGUGCGGCCAACCAAGGAGAGGGGGUGCUCACGCCGGUCGGUGGCGGAUGGCGGUGGUGGCGGCGCUGGAGCAACCCGAGCUCUCGCGGGCUAGGCUCAGGCUCACAGGGUGGCGGCGGCCACGGCGGCGACCGGGGAAGGCUUGGUACGGCGACGACUCGUCGCCGGAGGCUGAGGGGAAGGUGGCGCGCACAGCCUAGGGCGGCGGCGGCGCACGGAGGCAGUGCGGGGUCAUCUCAGCCCGAGCAGACCUGGGGCGGCCGCGGUUGACAGAAGAGGCGGCAGCGGCCCUCAGAGACGACGGCGACGAUGGACGGGGGUCACCGGGGCUCCGGGGAUAGCGGCGCUGCCGAGCUAUGGCGGCUGUGGUGUGAGGAGAGGGAGAUGGGGCUGCCUCAGCCUGGGUUCGGGCUGGGGUGGCCGCAGGCUGCAGAACCAGCAGCGGCGGCGCAGGUGACGGCGGCAGGUGGCGGCGACCGGCGGGAACGACACCGGAGAUGGAUCUCGGCCAAGAGGAGAUGGUGCUCGAGCUAGGGUCGCUUCCCGGGUCCGCAACCACACUGCGGUGAAGUGGUUGGCCGAGAGGGAGAGAGAGGGAGAUGAUGCAGGUAUUUCCGCCGGUCGGAAGUGCUCGUCGGCGGCCGGAGCAUGCUCAGGGAGAGGGCAGGGAGGUGGAGGAAGUGCUGGUGGCGUAGCUAGGGCAUUGGAUCGGCUAGGGUUAGGGUUUCCUGUUUGGAACCCUAAUACCUACACCUAUUUAGAGUGAAAAAUUGCAGAAAAGUCCCCCAAGUCUUUCUAUUUUUAGUCCAGUCCUUCACCACGCGUGUAAUAUGCGCGUAUGCACCUCGACGUUCAAAAUUACACGAAACGGUACAUAAAAUAUGGGGACUUUUGCGAAAAUUCCGAUUUGCCACCUUGGACCCCUCAGCGAACAUUUCGCGUUUCCCGAAAAUUCGUCCGUCGGAUUUUCGAUCCGACAGCGCCAUCGCGUUCAGCACGACGGGGGCAUCGAAACUAAGAUUUCGUUUCAUCCGAUUUGCUUGCUGAUUUGCGACAAAAUCUGACCUCUCUCCAACUAAUCCAUAUAUCACACAUAGGCCUUGGUGGAAAACCGAAAUCCUUUAAUUCAAACUCAUAUUUGAAUUCCCUACCACCAGUAGGUACCUGAAACAUCCUUCCCCCUACUCCAGGUCACAUACACAGAUCACGAGGGGUGUCAUAAAGCAAGAAUAGCGAAGAACGAAAACCCUCUUUUUGAUAAAACCCCUUUUUCUCGAAAAUCGUACGUCAGAUCUGAAAUCCGUCAAUGCCAUUGGUUCCAGAAUAGCUAACCCGAUUGAAACGAGCUAUUGGAUCGCUAUGAACGGAGUUCGAUACGCGCCGAAAGCCAACUCUACUCCGUGGCUUCACCGAAAAACCGGAGUUACUAUUCACUUAAGUGAAAACUAAUAAUCGCGUAACUUCUCCGUUUUAACUCAUUUCCUCCUAAAACUUGACGAGUGCUUAUGUAAUUAAAUUACACACAUAAACAUCAUCAACAGAGAGUUUAGUAGCACUGUAAAAAUCUCAGUCCUUACACAAUUCCAACUUACUUUUCUCUCUCUUUCCUUUUUCUCUCUCUUUCUCUCUCUCUCUUUAAGGAUACAUAUAAAUAUUUUACAAAUUUUUUUAAAAUCGGCAAAAAAUGGUAAAAAUUUUAGGACAAAUCUUGUAUUUUUUUUUUACAUAAUUUAAAAAAUCAGUAAAAAAAUAUAAAAUCGAAGAAAAUUUUUAAUUAAUUUUUUUUUGCAGAAAAAAUAGAAAAGUUUUUAGCACCAAUCUUGUAGAAAUUUUUUUUUAUAAAAAUUUAAAGAAAUAGAUAGAAAAAAAGGAAAUACAAGUUUCUUGUAAAUUUUUUAAAAGAUACAUGUCAUGAAAUUUUAGAAAUUUUAAUUCAAUAUAAAAAUUUUAGAAAAUGCGAUGGUGGUUCCGCGGGUGGAUUUGGACGGUGGUUCUGCGGGUGGGUUUGGAGGUCUUCGGGGAGCAAUGUCGAGCGCUAGGAGAGAGAGAGAGAGAGAGAGAGAGAGAGAGAGAGAUAUGGUGAAAGUGGUGGGAUGUUCGGUUCUAGGAGAAAGGGAAGAGAGAGAGAGAGAGAGAGAGAGAGAGAGAGAGAAAAGUGAGUUGGGAUUGGGAUUCUCUCUCUUGCUUUUUUUCUCUGUUAAUGGACGCUAGAGAGUGUCUCCUAUUUAAUUCCCUCACUAGCUUGCACGAAUCUCAAAAGACAUCUAUCGGCUAAAAAUACUAUAGCACAGGAACUUCUAUACUAUGGAUAGUAUAGAAGCUCAANUAGUCAUUAACCAAAUCUAUCUAUUACAAUUGAAAAUAGGGCAGAAAGUUUCUCUUCCAUAAACAGUUCUAUUAAAAAUCCAAAUAAUUAGUAGUUAAUUGGUUGAUUCUAAGUGAGGUUGUGAUUUAUAUAUAAUUGUGGAAAUAGUACUUUUAAGUUGCUCUGUUAUUUCAACUCAAUAUGAAAAGAUUAAAGGGAACUUCUAAUACCCACAAUGCAUUGCCAGUUUUUCACUUUAGUAUCUUAUGAUUUUAACUAUAUCAUUUAAUUAGUAUUCUGUGUUUUUUAUUUUUAUUUUUUAUUACACCCUCCAUUAACUUCUCCUUUAAACUAAUCAACCUGCAAAGGCCAACGAAAAGGCAUAGGACUACUUAAAUUUUAAACCUCAUCAUCCUUGGUGAGUCCGCAGCGACGAAAAAGCGAUGAUCCAUCAUGUACAUGUGUGGCACGUGACUAUUUUAGCAAAGAAAUUAAAGAAGGGUGUGAUAGAAAAUGAAAAUAGAAAUCAUAGGAUACUUAAGUUGAUAUAGUUAAAAUCAAAGAUACUAAAGUAAAAAGGCGGUAAGCUACAUACAGGGUAACUGAAGGUUUUUCAAAGAUUAAUCUAUACAUAUAGAUGAUAUGUCUAUAAUUAUUAAUUAAUUUUACAUUUACAUGAUUAGUAAUUCAUUCAAUGAUUUCAAUACUUGGUAAUAUGUGAGAUCAUUAUAAAAAAAUUAUAGAUGUGUAAUGAUAGCAUGUUUUUUAUUUAAAUUAAUAAUUUUACCGAAACAUAUUUUAACAUACGUAAUAACUUAGUAGCACUUCACUACCUUAUCAAGACAAACUAACCUAAUGCAUAUAUAGUUAGAAAUAUUGUUAUAUAGGGCUUUAUAUUUUACUAUAAAAUAAAUAUAAAAUAUAAUAAAAUUUUAUUAGUGAGUUAGUAUUGGAUAUAUAAUAGUUUGUUUUAUUUAAUCCUUUGAAUUUUACAUAUGAUGCCUGAUAAGAUAUAAAUAAUAGAGAAAAGUUCAACUAAAUUACUUUUGAUUUAUACAUGCAUUUGGUCAUUUUAUGAUUUGUAAAUUUGCACUUUAUAACUUUGUGGUUUGAGCUAGGCUACUAUACCUUCGAAAGCACGGAGGUUUCCAUACUUUCAAGUUGUUUUCAAUAAUAAGACAUCCGAUUUAGCAAUCAACUUCAUUUGACAUAUUGUAACGCCCCAAUAGUCUCACAUCGGAUGGGAUACUGAUUCUGAUCAAUUUAUAUAAGACCUACUACAACAAAAUUAAGUUUUAAGUGAUUAUCUUUUAAAUUACUGGCAAUUAUAAUUGCCGCUAAAUGAUUCCGAGACAAUUAUGAUAAUUGUCGCUAUUGGUAGGGUUGGUAAAAAUUAUUUUGGCAUUUGUUCCGGCGGUUGGUAAAAAUCUAAAUAAAUGCCGCUAAAUACUACCCAACAACAACUAUUAUAAAUGCCGCUAUAAUUAAUUAUAAUUGUCACAAAACAUAUACUAAAUGAUUAUUCAACAACUAUUAUAAAUGCCGCUAUAAUUAAAUAUAAUUGUCACAAAAAAUAUAUGUCACACCCCGGGGCCGAUUUAAAUGCCAUUACCAUUUUUAAAACUCAGAGUCGCAGAAGAUGUACCCCUUUUUUUUUUUUUCAACCUGGCCCACGUGACGUACAAACCCGCCACAAAUACAAAGUUCCUCUGUCCACUCGGACAGAGUCUCAUUUGUAUUUGCACGGCGAACCAACGAUACAACAGGAUCUCAACUACAAUCUACAAUUACCAAUCAACAACCAAUUUAUGAUAUGCAUUUUCCUACAGCUAACAAUCCUUAGAGACGAUGGAUACCGCAAGCACUCCUUAGGCGCUGGAUGAUGCAAUGCACAGUACAACAAUCAUCCUAUUUAAAGUGCUCUCCACACGGAAGCUUUUAUUUUUGAACUCUAAUUCAUUCAUCAUGAAAAAUCAUUCAAAAACCUUUUUAAAACUGUUUCCCACACGGAAACUCUAUUUUGAAAAUCAACUAUCUCGAGGGGUAGAAAACCACGAUAUGUAAAUACAAGAAAAUCCGAUAUCCAUAAAAUCAACAUCCAAAUCCACAAACCUCAGUUCACAUGCAUAAAUAACGAAAGCAUUCACAGAUCUACCAAAACCAGAUCACCAACAUUCAAACAAUCAUAAAGAUCAGCUAACUGAACCAUUAUUUAAAUGACUACUAUAGGUGGGAAAGAAAUACAACCAGGGUGGCGAUCGCUAUACCAGACUAGCUAGAUCGUCCUCUCGUCGAGCCCAAAAUCCAACUCCUCGUCUAUGACACCUGGGGGGAAAUGGGGGGUGAGAAACCGCAACCAUGGUUUUCUCAGUGGGUACGACAGAGCCACGAAGGCAAGCCGUAAUCACCGGAAACCAAAGGAGAUAGAUAAACAAAUAUAGAUGCUAAUAUAUGAAAACGAACUACAGUAGCUAUAACAGAUAUGAACAUGAUAUGACGUAAAAGCAACAACAGUAGUAAUAGAAACAGGAUAAUAACUGAGCAGGAAUGAAACUACUACUGUAACCAAAACUCAACUGAUCAGAUGCCUCAAAGGUGAAUAAUCCAAAACCAAACCCAAUCUGAUACUGCUAUAUUGGUCCGCAGACCUCAAGCAUUGCCUGUCACAGAGCAGACACUGCGAGCUUAUUCAUGCGUUACCGACGACCUAUCCGGAUACGUACACCCCUUGGUUGGUGGCCAAACCAACCUGGUGUCUAGAAUACACAGUGCUGUGACUAAAUCAUGCUGAUAUGCUCAAACGAAAACCGGCAAAAAGAGACCGGUGCCAUGGCCGAAGCUAGGUGCAAGGGCGUACAACGCCGAACCACGAUCAACCAGAUCGAAACACAUGACAAGAGAGUCGAUGUGUUGCCUGGACCCAAGGUCCACAGAGAUACAAUAUACGAGUGCAAGCCUGCUCUACAUGUCUAUCCACAACUAUACAAAUGCAAUCAACGGAAUACGAUAAACAAGCGAUAAACAAUCAACUGACAUGUAGAGACUACGAUACUGAUAUGAAAGAACAGAGGAAGGGUGAAACGAUCUCACCGACUACCAGCUCGAAGCACCCACCUGUCACUGUCGCGUCGGAACACUGAGUACGCACAAGUCUACCGGACCUAAGAAGAUCCACCAAGUCAGUAUCCAAACCACUAACCCAAAGCACGAGACUCACAAACCCCCACACAGGAUCCCCGUAAUCGGUUUCCCAAAACCGAUUACCGUAACUCACCGGAAGUCCCGAAAACCACACCGGGACGCCGUCGGGACCCACUUAGUGUCCCGAAACUCACCGACUCGUGUCACGAGUCACCUGCUGCUCCAGAACACUCCGAUUUGGAUGUUUUGGCAGCAAACACAAGAUAACAUCACUACACAAUUAUCGCCGGAUAAUUGUACGAAUCCGGGUUCCCGAAAGUGUCUAUUUCGACACCGGAACCCACCGUCGCUCACCCAUCAUCACCGAACCCACAAUGUGAUGAUGGUGACCAGCCAACAAGGCUUAGCGACUACUCACAGAGCAACCAAACGACGUCGGAAGAAAUCCGAACCGAAACCGCGUUCUUUCGGCGAAUUUCGCUGCAAAACGCAUCGAAAUCGACUCUUCGAUUUCUGCAAAAGCUAACGGAUCAUGGACAAUCAGUCCAAAGGUCAAACACACUCACGUGCACUGCCCACAGUAGCCACAAGGAGCACAAAUGCAUAAAAGACCCUCAAUUUACAUAAAAUCCUAUUAUUUCAUGUAAAUUGAGCGAUCAAGUGGCUCGUUCACGUAAACCGAGGACUCCCAAGGUCCACAGAGACACGUACUGAUAGGUCUCGACGUACCGGAGGCCAUGCUCACGAUCCGGAGCACAACGGCUCGCUGUGGGAAGCGCGGGAGCAACCCGAAGGUUUAGCGAACAGCGCGCAGCCACAGAAAAACGCACCAAACAGGACUAAUCGGACACUGUUGAUCCAAAAUAAGGUGAGCACCGUGAUCAGCACUGACCAGCGGUCACCGUGCUCACCUCCGGAGGCAUCGGAACAGCCUCGGAUCGCCGGCAAAACACGCACAAACACAGAGCCACAGCCAAAAAGGCUGAAACGAAGCGACAUCGCCGAAACAGCGAAACGGGGCCUUCCCGACAGAAACCAAAGUGAGCACAAUGAUCAGAAACUUGCCAGGAUCAUUGUGCUCCCUUCCGUAGAGAUCGGGAAGCCCCGAGAAGCUCGGAACAGUAAACCACCUAACUAAGCCCUAUUUCGGGCUUGGCCGGAGCAAGCUUGCUCCGGCCGGCCUUCGGCGGCACGGCGGCGCGCGCAGCGGUGAGGAACGGGUGCGGGGGAGGUGAAGACUGAGGUGCUCACCUCAGUCGGCGGCAAGGAGCGGCGGCGGCGACGACGGAACCAACCUAGCCCGCACGAGCUAAAGCUCGAGUUCCAGCGAAGCUACGGCCACGGCGGCGGCCGGGGCUCCUCGGGGACGACGACGGCAGGUCCUCAGAGGCCGGAGGAGGAGGAGGAAGACGGCAGGCGACAGCGGCGGCAGCCCGCGGCUCGGGUGCUGCCGCUCGAGCUAGGCUCGGUCUGCAGACCUGGGCGGCGGCGCCCAAGGUUCAGGACGGCCGCGACGAUCCGAAGGGCUGCGACGACCGGCCGGGAAGGUUGGUGGGACACAGGAGAAGGCCGCGGGAGCGACCUCAGGCGGUGGCGGCGCGAGGGCAGCUGCUGGAACUCGACUCGGCCGAGCCUUGUCCUAGGCGGCAAACCAGCCUGGGCGGCAGCGGCGGCGCUAGGCGACGGCAGCGGUCGGCGGGGAUGCUCGCCGGAGCACGGGGCGACACUAGCAGAGGGUCUGGAGGUGGCGGCAGUCUCGGGCUUC